CCGAUCGUCCCUAGAAGAAGCUCAACAAAGUCAUUUCUGCAAACGAAGAUCGAAGCCCGACGAUGACAGAGUCGAUCUCUCCUACUAGGGCGAUAGAUCUGACGGCAAAAGCCCGAUCGUCCCUAGAAGAAGCUCAACAAAGUCAUUUCUGCAAACGAAGAUCGAAGCCGACGAUGACAGAGUCGAUCUCUCCUACUAGGGCGAUAGAUCUGACGACAAAAGCCGAUCGUCCCUAGAAGAAGCUCAAAAGUCAUUCCUGCAAAAAAAAAAAAAAAAAAACAAAAAAAACAAAACAACACAAAAAAAACAAAACAAAACAAAACAGAAUUAAAAAAAGCAAAACAAAAAAAAAACACACACACAAAAAAAGAGAAAAAAGAGAAAGGGAGAAGAAAAGUUUUCUAUACCUUUCUGCUGAUUGGAUGAGGUAUAAGUGAGUAGGGUGUGAGUCUAUUUAUAAGUCCAACAAAUCCAAUUUUUAAAAGGAUUAGGAAUGAUAUUUAAUUAUUUUUUUUAAAAAAAAAACAAAUCCAAUUCCUAAAAGGAAUAGGAUUGAUUUUAAAUAUAUAUAUAUAUAUAUAAAGAAAAGAUAAUCCAAUUAUCUUAUUUUAUUUUAAAUUAUUUCUUUUUUUUUUGUUGGAUAAAUCUCAAGUUUAACUUUUAUUGAGAUAUUUAAAAUAUUUAAAAAUUUCAACAUUUAAAAAUAUAUAUAUAUAGAUAAAUAUUCUCAAUUUCAAAAUUCAAGUUAAAUUAACUUGCAUAUAUGACCUCAUUUUUAUCAUGAAUUUAAAUCGGAGCAUAAAUCCAACUUUACCUAAGAUUGAGGACCUGAUUUUUUAUCUCAAAUUAAAAUUGGUCAUUCCAAAUUCUUAUGCAUCCCCAAGAUAAAUUAAGGUACGGUAGAAACUUUAUCCUUAUUUCAAAAUUAAAAUUUUGGUUAUAUUCCAAAUUUUACUUAAAAAAAAUCAUCAUAUUAAAAAUUUUUUUUAUCCUCAAAUAAAAUUAAGUUAGGAAUAAAACUUUGAAUUUUUUUAAGGUUUGGCCAUAUUCCAACCCUUAUUUUAAAUUGAAAUCAAACUCACGUACUAAAUUCAAGUUUGAUUAAUUUGAUAUAUUGAAUUGAGUAAAAAAAAAAAAAAAAAAGAAGCUCGUACUUUGACUUCAAAUUUAUCUUUUCGAGAUUCAUUCACCCAUAUACGUGCAUAAAUCUCGAAAAGGGGGCAUUUGUUGAAUAAGAAAUUUUGAGACUAAUCACUAGUUGCCAUAUCAUUUAUUAAGUUAAUGAUGAAAAGUACAAAUAAUUAAAUUUGGGACUAAUUAAAAUUGACAUAUGCUCCAAAUUAAAGAGUUGAAAAUAAAUAAAAUGGUCAUUCUAAUAAUGCCACAUGUUUUCAUAUUAAUAGUUGGAUUAAGUUAAUCAUUUUAGUUCAAUUAAAUAUUAUUUACUUGGACUAAGUUCAAUUAAGCCCAAAAAAUAAGCUUAAUUGAACCCAAAGACUAAAUAUAACCUAAGUCCAUAUGGUUGAGCCCAUGGGUCUGGUCCAUGGACCAACCAGGUUCAAACCCAUAAAGCCCACCAGUGAAAUCUAUAAAUAGAGGAAUUCUCCUCAUUUGUAGGGGUUGGAAAUUUUGACUCUAGAAGAUCCAGAGAGAAUUCUUCAAAGAGCUAGAAGACUCCCUAACUCCUGAAGUCGACCAUCCUCGAAGAUUGAAGCUUCUUUAAAGAUACAAGCUUUCUUCAAGGCUUCAACUUCAAGAACAUCACGUGCUUCGCUUCCUCAAAUCAAGCUGAAGCAUCCAGUUGAGAGAGAAUCAGAGGAUCAAAUUCUAGAGAUUGAACCGCAUCGCAUCAAAUCAACAAAAUACAACAUCAAACUCAAGUUCAAGUCCACGAAUUAAAUUCUCCGAAAAUCUCGUGCGAACACAUAUAUUUCUAAAUAAAUUUAUUCGACGAAAGUGGCUAGAUUGGUGGGUUCGACGGCGAAGGCUUGUUGUGGCAGCAACGACAACAGUGGUUGGAGUGUGGAAUCGACGACGACAAGUGGCAAAAAAUUGGAAGGCAAGGGUUCUUCAUAACGACUCGGUAGCCCACUUCGUUCGACGAGAUUUUUUUGCAUUUUUGGUAGAGUGAGAAAAAAUUGCAUUAAGACUUCAUUCGACGACAUCGUUUUUGCUUAAGAGAAAAUUUGAUGUUUUUACUUAGUUGUAAUUGCGUGAGAGAGGGAAAUUAAAAAAUUUUGAAAUUUGAGGUUUUUUCAUUUGAAAUUUUUUUUAAUGACAAAAAAAUUGUCGUUAAUUAAUGACCCAAAAAUUGUGUGAAAUAAAUUAAAUUGUGUCAAUAGAAUUGUUUUAAGAAAUAAUCCAUAUUUUUAUUUUCAACAACACAUGUACCUCAUCCACCUCUUUUUUCUUUUAUUUUCAACGACACAAUGUCUUGAUUAAAAUCCAUUUUUCUAGUGACAAAUGUAUCCAUACCAAAGUGGGAAGCAGCUAAGGGGACGAAGGUAUAUUCGGAGAGAGAUUGUUAAACAAUUGUAAAAAGUAAGCCCAAGAAGAGAGGUCCAAUAAAAUUCAGCCACCUCUCACAUAGUAAUUGAAAUAGUCUAGCAAUUUCAACCAUUUCCCUCACAGAGAAGAAGAAGACCAUAGCCACUCGAGGCUUUUGCACAUACAAACACCAAGAAGAUGGUGUCCGGUUCCGUACCUGUGCUAAGCGCGUCGUUGUUGACAUAAAGUUUCUAUAUACAAAGCUAUGUAUCUCUACCCUUGACUUCUCUUUCUCUCUUUCUACCUUUUUUAUCCUUUCUUUCUCCCAUUCACUCAAUACACUUGCAAGAACCUUCAUUUUUUUUGUAUUUAAAUUUUCUUGGCACCAUCCUUUUUUAAUUAUCAAGGCUUUGUUAUUGUGUACCUGUAUUGUGUCGUGCCUCCUUCACUUCUCAUCAUCAUUUUCAUGUCACAUCUCUACCUUGUCAAUUUUCGUUUUUCACUCAGCUUUCUUUCUUCAUUUGUCUUCACUACUCUCUUCGCUCCUUCUUCUCAAGCUCUAACUUUUGCUAUUAUUAACCAGUCUCAAAUGACCAUUGGAAAACCUAUAGCCCACUGAGAGGCAGCCAAUAUAGUAAUGCCUCUAAUGAUAAACUCCAAUGAAAUCAAAAGUUCUUCUUUGAGAUUUGGAAAAAUAUAUUAGAUAAAGCAUAAUUAGUUGAAAAAGAACCUUAAAAUUUUGUGUUAAACGACUACAAUUUCAUCGUAGAAUAUGCCAUAUUGACAGCAUAUUUUUCCUACAAAAACAUAUUAACUAAAAUAAGCUCAUAAACACGAAAAUGCACUAAGUGUUGGUUAACAUACACUACCUUGAAAUAUGAUGAAGACUUUAUUUCUCCCAACCAGACAGCAUAAUCAGGAGGUAGUUUGGGAGCAAACAGAAUUGACUUAAUUUCCACUAGCAAUAUCCUAUAAAAAUUUCAAAUUCUUGAAAUAUGGAAACCAAUGGAAGUUUUAGGGAAUGAAGUAUAACCUCUAAAUACAGAAGGACGACAUAAAGGGGAAUGAAGACUCGAAAGAAGGACGACGUUUUCGUAGAGAAGGACGACAAUUUUGAGGGACAACGGACACGAUUUCAGAGUAUUAGGGAUGGUAGAUGGCGAAAGUCUUAGGGAUCUCGUACUCAGUGGAUGGUGAACGACUGAAAGCGAAGGACCUAGUACGCAUUUUUGGAGAGGGCGUGUGAACGCGGAUGGACGGACGGUGAACACGGCAGAAGUGAGAGAUCCUCAUAGAGAACUUGGCAUUUUCGAAUGCGGUAGAGACAAGUCUAGGGCUUCGAAGGAUUCAACCCAAUAUUUUCUUUAUAUAUAUAUAUAUAUAUAUAAUAUAUAUUUAAUAACACUUGACGUUUUUAAAACGUAAAGAAAAACGAUUUUACUUGACGUCUAAAAAACAUCAAGAAAUUUAAAAAAUAACUCUUCUCCGGCUUUUUAUAAAAAUUCUUGACGUUUUAAAACAUAAAGAAUUUUUAAGAUAUUUCUUGACGUUUUUAAAAUGUCAAGUAAAAGUACAUAUUACUUGACGUUUGAAAAUUUUGAAGAAUGUUGAAUAUAUAAACAUUCUUGACGUUUUUAAAACGUCAAGAAAAAAUACAUAUUAGUUGAUGUUUAAUAAACGUCAAGAAAUCUGAAAAUUGACCUACCCUCGCCUUUUCUAAAAAUUCUUGACGUUUUAUCUUUGGAACUACCCCUUUCUUGACGUUUUUUGAAAAAAAAUGUCAAGAAAGAAAAACAACAAACGUCAAGAAAGGCCUUUUUUGUAGUAAUGACAUACAAUAUAUAUAUAUACAUAAAUAAAUAAAUAAAUAUAUAUAUAUAUAUAAUGAAUUAAAAUGGUUUUGUUGCUUUACUGUUUUACUCUAUAAAGGAAGAGCAUUAUAAAUAUAUUAUUGAGGAAACAUCUUUCGAAAUGACUGGUUUUGGAAGUGUCAUUAGAUUUUUAGUUAGUUAAGCACAUUUUCCUCCCAAAUAGUAGUCGAAAUACAACUGUUUUUUAAGAAGAAGAAACCGAAUCCUUCAAACUAGGAUAAAAGUCAUUAUCUAUUAACAUAGAGUUAAAGUUACAAGGUUGAAGGCUAGAGGGAAGCCUGAAACAACCUAAUCUAACAAAGCUUAAAGUUAAGAGUUGGUAGUAACAUCAUAUUAGUUACAAGAUGAAUGACGCCUAGACCAAACUUCGAUCAAGUUACAUGUGUCUUCCCACAAGUUAACAAUAAACCUUGAUUUAUCCUUAAAAAUUCUAUUGUUUCUUUCUAUCCAAACAAUCCAAAGUAAGCCAGUUAUGGAGGAGGAAUACACAUUAGAGAGCUCAAUUAUGGAUGGAGGAAUACACAACUUUUUCUCGUGGUCAUUUUCCUCGUGGGCAUUCUCUUCAUGUUUCUUCUUAUUCCGACUAAAAUACAAGCACAAAUUAUUCUUCGCCUUCGUAUAGGUUUGUUUGAAGAAGAUUAAAAAAGUCCUUAAUUUAUCUCGACACUUCCAAAACCAGAAUAUAAUACCCGUGCUACAUAAAUCCCUCUUUCCAAAUAGUCGAACAUGAACUAUCCAUGCAUAUCUUGGAAUAAACAAGAGAAACCCUAACUAAACGCAAAUAGAAAAUACGUUGCAAUCUAAAAUAUAGUUAAAGAAACAAAAAGAAGUUUUAAUGUUGUGGGUUUUUUACUGAUCUUCUUCAACAACAAAAUAACUCAACGCCACAGUUCAAUUUUUCCUUCCACGAAUUGGGUUUUUAAAGAGUUUUCACCGCGAAUAAAUUUUUUUUGGUUCGACAAGUAACAACAUGUGAAUCCCCAAAUGCAAGGUUUUAUUAAAAAUUAAAAAUAUAAUUUUUUAAAAAAAUUAUAAUACCUAAAAAUAUAUUUUUUUUAUAUUUAUAACCUAAUUUUCUGUCAUUGCAUACUUGAGAGAAAUAUAUUUUUCAAUUAGCAUAAUAACCUUUAUAUAGUAAAUUAAAUUUGUAGAAUGAGAAAAGACCUUAGAUCCAAAAAAGUUAUUUAUUUAUUAUUGGAGUGAAUUGUAUAAUUAAUGUAGUUAAUGGAUGGUUUUGUAACCAUAAAAAAAUAAUGAAAAUAAUUUUCUAAAAGAAUGAAUGAAAAUUUGGAAAGUUAAAAGGUUUUAGGAAUUAAAAAAAAGGGUGUAACAUUAUAAAAGACUACCAAAUAUACUGUAAGAGACAUGCAUUAAAGGAGCUGAGUGUCACGUGUGAAAUUUUGACCCCAAAAAUCACCCCCAAAAUUGCGCUAAUUCAUGCCACGACUCCUUCAGCAAGGCCCAGGAGCAGCCCAACGUGGUCCUAAGACAGCCUAAGGGCGACCACGACAUGUGCCUACGGCAUUGGCAUGCACCUCUCGAGGACAGCUCACAAGCCCCGCACGCGUGCCACGACGAGUGCCCAUGACAGCCGAGUGUCAGCCCACGACACAGCCCCAUAGCACGCCAGAUGCCCGUUGACACGGCCAUAGGCGCCCGGCACCAGCGCCCACCAUCGACCCAGCGCGCGCCGUGUCCGCCCAACGUCCAGACGGCCCCAGAACCUCCGAGAAGCUUCCAGAAGAAUCGGGAAGGCGCGCAACACUUCGCGUGGCGCGCACGGCGCGAACCCAACGCGCGCGCCGACGCCCCCAGAUGCUUCCAGAAGGCUCCACACAUGCCCAUGUGUGUGCUGCCCGCCCAUGCUCAGUCUAGACAACCCCAGAAGCCUCUAGAACGUUCGAGACAGUGCCAGAAUGUGCUGGAAUGCGCGGAGGCUCCCGAGAAGGCCCCGGAACGUGCUGGAUGAUGCUGGAACGUGCUGGAACACUCUAGAAGGCUAUAUGACGGUCAGCGAGUGUCAUGAAAGGUCUAGUCCUCUCUAGAAUGUUCUAGGCUUCCUUGUUAUGUACCAAAUGAACUUGUAAUCUCUAGAAUCUCCCUUGGCCGACCUUCUAAGGCCCAAGGUCGGUGGGGAUGGUCUAUAAAUACUUGGGAGGGCCUCAUUUGUAUCAAGCCUUGCAACCUUGCAUCUUGGCAUGUCUUAGCCAAGCAAGGUCACCUUGCCACCCAAAGUCUCCUUGCCCAUGGUAUCCCCAUGACAAGAAGACAGCAUAUUUGUACCCAAAUAUGUAUUCAUCUAUUGUUGGAAUGCAAUGUAUCAUUCCAAAGACGUAUCCAUCCAAACUCCCUCAUCCUUCCAACCUCUCUCAUGUCUUGCAACCAACCUUAGUACUUCCGCUGCAACCGUUGUCGUAGUGCUUGGCACACUACCCCUUCCGGGAAAGGCUUACUUGGCUACGUGGGCAUUGUAGUUAGCCAAGUGCCGCAUGUAUGGUUAGCUUCAAGAUCCUAACCACGUGACAUGAGGCAUGCAUACUACCAAAUAUACUAUAAAUAAACCAUAAUUCUUUUUUAAGAAAUUAAACAACUAAUUAAAUAUAAAGAAGAAAGAUUAGAAAAUGAAUGAUCAAACAAACUAUGACUCAUUUAUUUUUGACAGGUUCGGCCAGUAUCACCUGACAAUUCAUUUUCACCAAGAGAAUAAACAUGAGUAGCCUUGGAAUCAAGUUCCUCCGAUAAAAGCCACGGAGUUGAUGGGUUAGAGACAGAACCAGAAUUUGAGUUCAACGAUGUGGAUGGAAAAUUCUGAAACUAGGAGCAACAGGAAGUUAAGACAACGAAUUAUUUUCAAUAUAGAAAGGCUAAUUGUAAGAAGUUGUUAAUGAAGUGUCCAAAUGCAUUAUGGUAAUAUUGGGUGCAGAAUGUUUGGAAGUUUUAUCCGUGUGCUGUGAAGCACCACAGAGUUGAAGCAUAUGAAACCAGUGUUUAUCUGACAAAAAAUAGUGUCAUGAUCAUUGCCUUUCCAUUCCAUAAAUUUAUGGAUAGCAGAAGAAAGAGAACUCUCAACACUUGAAUCACCAUAUAGCACUCUACAUCCAGGUGGUGCCUUGAUUUUUGAAGAUUUAGUUAAAAGCAGUGAUAAAAUUGGUACAUAAAUUACAGUGCAUUUCUCGAUAUGCAACAACAUUAAGAGCAACUUAAAGACAACAUCAUCAAGAAAUCUAGUAUUUAAAAUGUACAAAGAGCAGUAGUAAACAUAUGUAUUUUAUGGCUGACUUUAUCCAUAAUAAAUGUUGGAUUAAAUCAUCAAAAUAAAACACAAACAGAUAAUUAUCGAGUUUUUCAAUGGAGGAUAGAGAGGAAGACAUGCAUGCACAACUACUAGAUCUAUAUGGUGCCAGACUGCCAGUAAAAAUUUAAAGACACACAUGACAACAUUAUUUUGGAUGAAGUUCUAAUAUUGCAACCAUGGAGGAAAAAUCAGCAAAUCUUAAAUAGAUGUAGUAGUCCAAAUGAUAAAAGUUUGUCUCAAGAUAAUAUUUCAGUAACUGCAGAUGCAUUGUGUUGAACCUAACCUCUUGUGUUUCACGGUAAUGAACAAGGACAAUGUGUUCAAAGGUCCUGAACAAAAAGCAGAAGCAAGUCAUAAAUUAUAUAAGUAGAACACGAUAUACUGCCACUUCUAAUUUCAUUUUUCUUUGCUUGUGGCAUGAUGGGGAUAGACCCCACUGAAACAACUGGUAGCAAGCAAUUUAACAAUUUUCUUUCAACCAUAACAUACUUAUCUAGGAGCCAAUAACACCGGCGAACAAAGGUUGGGCUAUCUAGUCCAUGGGCAUAGUAUACAUGUAUCCUUUCUACAUUACCAACCUGCCGAAGAGAAAGAAAAGAUUAUCAAAGCACACCUUUUCUUGGUUAUUAAGGCUGUAAAAGAAUGAAAAUUACCAUAAAUCUAAACACAGUUAAUAUUAGACCAUUGAACAACCUAUAGAUUCAAAAGGAAAGACUCAAACCACCAAUAGACUGGUUAAUCAUUUAAAAUGAUCUCCAACAACAUGAUACGCAGUAUAUCGUGCUAGAUCCAUAAUUACCACAUGUGGACUCCUAUGGUAAUUUCAUUGAUGAUACGCAGCUAGUAGGCAAGAUUAUGAAAUGAAGACGGUAUGUGAGAAGAUUGAAAAGAUCAACAUGAUAAAAUUAUAGGGAUUUGAAUUUAUAUCUUAAGAACACCAGAGUCAAAUGCUUAAGCUGAUUAACUGUGUUAAAUUUAACUCUAUAAUAUAUUUUAAAUCUGAACAGUCAUUAAACAACUACAUUUUGAAUAAGCUUUAGAGAAUAUUAGCAAAAACAGUAGAAAUUACUUCAAAUUUGUAGAGAGAACAUAUAAAUUAUAUUCUACAGAAACACGAGCCCAUAGCAUGUCUACUGAGUAGCAAUGACAGUGAAAAAGGGAAUAGUAAGUAACUAAUCUCAUAAACCCCUUUCUCACAUCUAACCAAGUUCUUUCAUGACAUGCAAAAGCAUCAAAAUAUUUAAGAAAACUUCCAAUAUUGCAUUUGGAACUCAUUGAUUGACUUCAACGUUUAAGAGUCAUAAAAGACACAACUUACUUUCUCACCUGUCACCACUAAGCCUACGGCAACAUCUUUUUAUAAGAUAUUCAGCUAAUCUUUAGAUUGUUUACCGAAUAAUCGUCUAUUGUUUUGUAAUUGAUCCCACCAAGCGCUUGCGCCACCUUGAAGUUUGAGAGCAACUAAUCGAACCUUCUUGUGUUCGUGGUGUAUUGGCAUAGUCGAAAAAAUUUCUACGUUCUUGAUCCAAUCAAGAAACUUCUCCACGUCCAUUCGACCAUUGAAGGUAGGGAGAUCCACUUUCAUACGUAUUUCUUGAUCUUCUUGAAAGUAUGGUCGAAGUCCAAGCCUUUGUUGAGGUUCUUGAUGAAUGUUCAGCAAGUUGUCUUCAUCGGAAGAGUCAGAAUCAUUUAAGAAAUUUCAGGUACGUUGUUUCCAUACAAUCGAUUAUUGUGGAUGUGAAUAGGUUGAUUUCUUAGUAGUUCUUAGUUUACAACAGGGUUUAUUGGUCUUUCUUGUCUUUCUUGGUUUGCUGCAAUUGGGUUUCUUGGGGCUGAAUUGCUUCUUCUAAAGGUUGGACAUGAAAUCGGGUAAAAAGGUUUGUUAAUUCUACUAACGAUUGCUGUAUAUCUGACUGCCCUUUUCGAAGUUCUUCAAUAGCUUGUUCUACCAACUGCAAGCGUUGGUUGAAGGAGGCUUCCGCGUCCAUGGAUAAGAGUGGUAGGAUCCAAGUUUUUUUAGGGAAGAGUGAGCUAGGAUCACGCUCUGAUACCAAUUGAUUCAGUAAUUGCAAAGCUAGAAAUCUUUAUGUAUAAUGCCUCUUUUUUUUUAUGUCUUAUUAAUGAAAAUGAGAAGCUUUUUUAUAGGCUGGAGAUUAUAAGAGUUGUUAAACUAACUUGGGGUUGAGUUAGUUAACUUGGAGUUGAGUUAGUUAUAACUAACUCAAGAUACAAAAUUGGUAAUUCAAAUAACUAAUCCUAAACUAUAAAAAUGGUAAUUCAAACCCCUCCUCUAGGAUAAAACUCAAGAAACAUCAAGAAGGGAGAUGUUCUACAUCAAAGUGUAGAGAACGAUUCAAAAUCCUUGGUGAAAGAAAUGAAUGUUAACUAAUGUGUGUUUAUGUGAAAUUGUUCAAUGAGUAUGUUAAGGAUAAAGAAAGGUUUAUGCGAGAUAAAAUUAUUUGAUGUUGUUUAUGCGAAAUGAUGUUUAUGAAAAGGUAUUGCGAAAAGGAUUUCAUAAAACCUUAGUCUUUUAGACAUUCUUUCAAAAAUUCAUCUUCCAAGAUGAGGUGUUUAGGCCAAGUAGAGAAGAAGGUUGAAGGAUUUGCAGCGAGAUGACCAGACGUUUUGAAAAUAGUUAAGCAUUGGUUGUUUGGUCAAAGUGUUGUAAUUAUGUAUCAAACACAUGUUAUUAAUAAACAUCUUGGUAGGUAUUUAUUAUACUUGCACGCCUACUCUCACAUUUAGCCAUAUGUUGUACUUUGUUUUCCACCUUGACUUUUAAUGACACACAAACCAACUUUCCAAGGAAUUCCCUUUCAUUUUCCUAUUAACUCAUAUUCUCUUUUUUUAUCAAGUCCUUGAUAGAGAAAGUGGACUUUGAGUUGUUGGACUUUAGUAUUGCAUGGACAUACAAUUUUGAAUGAAAAAUCCUUAUAAAUGGGGCCUUUUAACUCAUUUGAUGGGUUGGCUAUUGAAUUUGGGCUUUCAUACCAAAUGGAAUUUUUUUUCUUAUUUACUUAAAGAAAAAAAAAAAAAAUUUACCACGCCCAUUUUUUUUCAUCUAUUUCUUUCGUCCGGUUCUUUCAUCCAACGAGUCCCACAACUCGAUUAUGAGUCUAGAAGUACUAAGUCAAACUUAGUGGUUGUUCGAAUAAAACGCAACUUCAAAUGUAAGUAUUCUAAAAACCUUAUUUUUUGGUUUAGUCUCGUUAAUUAAGCCCAAUUAGGGUAGAAUUUCGAUUCUUUUUCUGUUGUGCAUGUCUUAGUUCUAUCAGUAACUCCCUUCAGGGUGAUAACUCUCAUCAGCAGACUUUCCAUUACUGGUUUCUUCCUUAGUCAUCAUUAUAUUGUUGUUUUCCACAAUAGAUAGGGUGAGUUGCAGUUUUACAUGAAAUGCUCUGCUCACCCACACUCUUUUCUCACUAGUUCCUUAUUCUCAAUCUUCAACGCAAAUUUCAUCAUCUGGGCCAACCCAAUCGGUUCCACAGUUUCCACUUCCAUUUUUAUUCAUGGGCUAAGCCCAAUCAUCAAAGUCUCCUCUAACACUACCGUUUGAAGAAAUGCUACUAGAGCUAAAUAUCGAUCAAAUCGGUUGCGGUAUUCUUCUAAUCAUUUUCUGUUUGAUUGAGAAAAAUCUUCCAACCAAAGUUCCUUCUCGAAUUGAUCGAAACUGUACAAGCAUUCGUUCUUUCAGGUCAGCCCAAUUCUUAAAAACUUCCAACUCUUCUUGUGCUUGGUACCAAUCCAAUGCCAGAUCAUCAAAACUAAUAACGCUGUGGUUAAUUUCUCUGAAUCAGUAAGAUCAUGUAUCUUAAAGAAGCGAUAGGCUCUAAAUUGAGACCCAUUUCUAAUUUGAGUAAUGAAGUAAAUUUGGCUAGGUAUUAAGAAUUUGGCGUUUGAAUAAAUCCACGAAAAGGAUUAAGCGAUAAAAAAAUUUAUGGUUAAGUAUACGUUAUUGCGAUUCAGUGGGUAGUUCGCGAAGGAAGUUGUGCGACCCAUUUCUAAUUCGAGUAAGGAAGUAAAAUUCGGCUAAGAAUUAAGAAGUUGGUGUUCAAAUAAAUCCAUGGAAAGAUUAAGUGAUAAGAUCUUUUACGGUUAAGUAUACUUUUUUGCGAUAAGUGGUAGUUCGCGAAAGAAGUUGUGCGAUAAGAAGCGAAAAAGUCUUUGCGUAAGUUAGAAAUGAAAGUUUUGAGUGUUAGACUAGGAGUUUUGGGUGGUCUUCGCGAGAAGAACCAAGUGUUUCGUGGAGAAGAAGUCUACGAGGAAGCCUUGGAGUUUAAGUUCGUGAUAAGAGUUUUAUGCGAGUAAAAGUUGGUUAGUUCAUGUGGAACGUUUCUUAUAAUAAAAAUAUAAUCAAGCGAUAAGGUUAUUCACGAGAAAUGUUAAGUGGUUGAAUUUAUUCACGGUUUGGGUUAGGCGGGAGCAAGGUUUGUAAAGAAAAUGUCAAAUCUGAUUUGACAUGGGUUAACAUGUAAGAUUAAGGAUUUGAGCAUGACUAGGUUAAAUAUUAAGGAUUUGCAUGACUAAGUUAGUAUAAGGGAUCUAUAAAAUAGGAGAAUUUAGGUAACUAAGGAGGGGAUGACGAGAGUUUUGUUGAAAUGCUAAAGUGUUGUUGGUUUAGCCACGAAAAGAUGGUUGUGAGAAGGACUUCUUUAGUAAAUUUUGGUGAGUGCUUUUCAGUCAAAAGAAUUUAUGUUAAGAAACUUUAUUACGAUUUCUCUUUACUGAUUGAAAGAAGAAUUCAGAUGAGAAUGUUUCAGAAAGAUUUCUAUGAAAAGUUAUGUUCAAGCAUUAUUAUAAUGUUAAAGCUUGAUUUGAUGACUAUGAUUUCAAUAUUAUGUUUCUUUGAGAUGAUGCUAACUUUUGUGUGCACAUAAAGAGUGAAGGCACUAUGGAGUGUACGAACUACAUGGUAAUAAGAAGCUGACUUAUGCAUUGAAAUGAGCGUAUAAAGCUUAGCGGAUGACAACAAAGACGAAUUUGUAUGUUCUCAGAUGUUGAUACAGUAGUCUAAACGCGAGGUAAUGACACCAGCGUAGAGAAUGAUUCGGGAUCCUUGACAAAUGAAAUGAUUUUUUAAGCAUAAAGAAAGGUUUAUUCGAAAUGAAAUAAUUUUUCGGUAUAUUUAAAUGAUUUGAUAUUAUUUUACAAAAUGAUUAUGAAAAGGUAUUGUGAAAGGUUUUCAUAAAACCUUAAAGGAUUUAAAAAAAAAGUGGACCAUUCAACUUAAUUCCCAUCCACUAUCCUCUUGUCCAACAUGAAACUUUAUCUUAGUAAAACUUCUUGAUCCACUAUUUUACAAAAAUAUUCAAAACAAUACCAUACUACACCAAAUGUGAUAUUUUGGUAACACUAUAAAAUGGUCAGAAAUACCAUUUUCCUGACUUUUUUUUCAUCGACCAUUAAAGAAAAAGUAUAGAUGAUGUUUCAAAAACUUCCAAACCAUUGUGUUAGUUAUCGUUUUAGAUGAGGGUUGGGGUAGAGCAUCAAUACUAAAGGUUGUUAAGGAUUAAGAACUAAGACUUGAAAACAAAACCGCCUGCCUGGUUGACAACAACACCAUCCCACUAGAGUGCACAAUGAUUAUUAUUGCAUUAAGAAGAAGAUGGCAGUUAACCUUAGCGCCAUAAUCAGAACCUCAAUCCUCCCUUUGAUGAAAGCACCUAAAGGUGUCAUGCCUUUCCCCUCUACCACAUUGAAGCUCUUUGUCUAACACUACAAGAAAUGAGGGCUCUCUCGAUGCAUAAAAUCAUUGGGAGAUAUAUAAAAAGCAUCAGAAAAGGCUUUUCUGACAUACUAAUAUACGUUGGAACACAAGUCAGGAAAAAAUGUAUCGGGAGAGGAACUCCCGAUGCACAAUGUUGUGCGUCGAGAGUUUCUAGACAUCUUCUGACGUUGUAUGAACGUCGAAGAUGUUGUCAAUAUAGCAUCGAGAGAUGUCUAGGAACCAUGCGUCGGGAGAUCCUCUAUUUUUUAUUAAAAAAAAUAACUUCAAUUAAUUCCUAAAUUCAAAUUGAAAACUCUAAAUUCAAACUCAACUUCAACACUUCAACCUCAACUUCAACACUUCAAAUUCAAAUUUCUAAAACCUACAACUAAUUCAAAAUUCUAACAACACUUGAAAUUAAAUUUCAACACUAAAACUUACAACUAAUUCAAAAUCUAAAUACUAAAACUAAUUUGAAAUCUAAAAUCUAACACCUAAAACAAAUUUGAAAUCUAAAUACUAAAACUAAUUAACUAAAACAAAACAAUAACUAACUAAACCACUUACCGAUGGCGGCGACGACAGGACGACAACAGGGACGACAAUGGAGAUGACAAUGCCCUCUUCUUCUUUAUCUUCCUCUCGGUCUCCCUCUCCCUCUCUCAUUUUUUUCUCUUUAUGUUUCAUUUAUAUAAAGAAUGGAGUUAAAAAAGGCAGAGAACUCCUGACGCACAACGAAAACGAAUUGGUUCCACAAACCAAUCUCAUCACAGAGGUACUCUUUGCAAUUUAAGCUCUAUUUGCAAUGGACAGUCUUCAAAGUUUUUUUUAACGAUGUUUCCAAUGCUUUCCUUUCUCUCUCAUGUUUAAUAAAACAAAUUUCUCUUAAAACCUGUAGGGAGGCUACAUCGUAUCGAAUUUCAUACAACUGACGUGUUCAUCGAGUUACAACAAGUGCCGCACAAUAGUCUGUUCCAUUUUGAAAAGUUGUGAGUGUGACACGCUCACAUGAGGUUAGAACGAGACAUGGCAAGGCAAGCCCUACGCGCGCCUGCAACUUCUGCCACAAUAUUUUGUAAGCAAGCUGAUGUCUUUAGGCUGUUUUUGUGGUUUUUGGAAAUUUUAAGCAAAGUUUUGAUAUUUUUAUGAUCAACGGGAAUUAAAUGGAAUUAUUUCCCAUUAUUUUUCAUUAUUUUAGAUUUGAAGGAGAUCGACCAAGUUUAUAAGCCAAGGGUCCAAGCUACUCUCUAUAAGUGACAAAAAUGAGUUUAAAGUUGAUUUCUAUACAUGAAUUUACUAUCAAAUGUUUCAAGCAUGCUUUGAUGUUUGAAUAUUUGAGGAUACUGACUAUAAAGUAUUUCCAAAGCAUGAAUUUAGAAACAUUUUGGUAAACAUGUUUUUAUUCAUGAAUUUACUAAUGAAAAUUAUAAGCAAUCAUGAUUGUGCUAAGUUUUCAGAAUGUUUAAGCUUGAAAAUAAUAUUAGCAUGUUUUAGUCUAUACCUAAAAUAUUCUAAGAUAUAUAGCAACCCUUCGCGGAGAGAUUUUCUUGUGCAUAGAGGUCAUUUGAUUUGGAUAUUCAGUAAAUACCUAGCUUUCCAUCAUUGGUAUUAGAUAAGAGAUGAAGACUUCUAAAGAUGCUUAGUUUCCCAUCUCAGGGACGAGAGCUUGUACGAAUGCCUAGUUUUCCAUCUCAUUGUAGUUAUAACGAGAUAGGGCACAAUUGAUGCCUAGAGUUUCAUCUCGUAAGUAUCGUAUCACGGGAUAGGGCUUCUAUGCCUAGUUUAUUGUUUUUCGUCUCGACGAUUAUAGGUAUAACAGAGAUUUGGUUUGAGGUGCUUCUUAAGUCUUUAAUAUUUAUGUUUGUUUUGAUCCUAGGAAUUGAGCAUGUAAUGUAAAAAGUCUAUGCACAAGGGGUCAUAUGGCCAUCUCCGUGUUUCUUUAAUUAUCAAAUUUGUUCAAGUUUUUAAUUGUCUCUAGAUCAAAAUCUGGAGUUAUUUUUUGUGAUUUGGUGUACAAAUACAUACAUCCAUGUUUCUAAUUAUGAUUAGAUUGUUUUCUGCUCGCAACAUUUUAUUGUUUAGCUUGUCUUUGAUCUUGAACUUACUAUUAUGUUGAUUUAAAUUCCAUUUUAGCCUUAGAACUUUCAAAACAUCCAUUUUAGUCAUCGAGCUUCCAAAACGUAGCCAACUAAGUUUUAGUAUUUUGUAAAUUAUUUUAUCAAUUAAUAUUCAUUUAUCCAAUACUCAUCGGUCAUUUCUGCUAUAUGUGAUUGGAAUAUAUCUCAUAGGAAGCAUUUUGAAAGUUGGGAAAAGAUGGAAAAUUUUAGGGACUAGAACAAGAAUUUGUUUAAUAUUUUUUGAUAGGGUGAAUUCUUGCAAUUUCCUUGUCGUAUAUACAUAAUUUUUUCUCUCAUUUGGCAAAUUCAUUAUGCUUGAAAAUUUAGGUGAUUCAUGAGCUAGAUAAAGUAAACAACGUAUGGAAGAUGAUCUUUGUGGCUUGUGAGGAAGACGUGGAGGAAGCCUUGGUGGCCGUAGAAAAAGGGAUAUGGACUUUCAACGUUGAAUGGUUAAUGGCAUGUAUAAUGAGACAAGAAGUAGACUUGGAGGCCCUUAAUUUGCUGAGUCCCUAUGAGAAACAAGGUCACCCUAACUUUCAGUUUUGAACAAGCAGCAGCCAGCCAUUUCGUCCUUGUGUAAAUCCACUCUUUUCUCAACUCACUCUAAUUUGGUACAUAAACAAACUCUGAUCGCUCCAUCUCUAUAUUCAUCAGUACAUAAAAGACGAUAAGUUUAUUCAUGGAGAAAGUUGGAUGUAAGUAUGUUUUAGGAAUGGUCCUUCAUUUAGUAACUUUGGGAAUUGUAAAAAUGAGGUAAUGAAGUUCUAUCAAGUUGAAUGUUCUUGUUUAUGUUAGAUGAGACUGAUUCUUGGAUACCAGAAUUAACUUGAAGUACGUGUUUGAGUUCCAUUGGAGUGAUUAGAGAAAAGAUGUUCCUUUAAAAACGGUAAUUUUUUUAUGUAGACUUUCUUUUUAUUAAAAUUGCUUAAAAUACAAUUUGAGAGUAUUUCAAUAGCUUUCAAAGAGUUGUCAAACACUUGUAGUUUUUCUAAAAUAACAUAUUUUCAAAAUUAAUUACUGUAAUAGUUAAACAAAAGAUUCUUUCCCUUCGAAAUUUUAAAGUUUGUCUAGUUACCUCUUAAACCUUUCAAUUGUUUAAUAGGUCUUUCAAUUUUAUGUUUUAAGUGUCAUAAAUUUUGAUUUUUUUUUAUUUGUUAGAUAUAAAUCUGAAGAAAUGAAUAAAGUAGAUUUGUAAGUUUAAAAUAGUUUAAAAGUUGAGAAAUUAAAUUUGUAGUUUAAAAGUUGGAGUAAAUAGUUUGUGUUAAGUCGGGUUGUGAUAUUUUAUUUAUUUAUUUUAAUAAUAGAAGAGAGGGAGACGAAAACUGCAGACUGAAGGGAGAAGAAGCGGUGGCUGACUUUGUAUAUUUCUCCUUUCUUUUCAAUUUGAGAAAAUUUCUUUGCAAUUCACUUUGAAAAGGAAAUGAAUAUUUCUCCCUCAGACUUAUCUCUCUCUUCUUUUCAAUUUAUUUUCAAUUUUUCUGUGUGCUUCUCACAGUGUAUGCAUAAUCUCUCUUUCAUUUUGAUAUUCAUCUCCAUUUCAAAUAUCUCCCACACAAAGAACAAAGAAAUGAGUAAAGUAACUGAGAGAGCAUUUUGUUUUUCCCUUCAUAUGGUUGGUUACUUUUUGUCAAUUAAAUGAAAAGUGAAGAAUAAGAUAAGAUUUUCUUUACCCAUUUGCCAUCAUCAUCAAAGCUAUUUACCUCAUUUUUGUUCACACACACACAACUUCAUUUUGUUGGAUUACACUCAUUUGAGAAAAUAGCAAAAUUUUAUUAGAAGAAUAGCAAACACGAGCAUUUCAUGUGUUUUGAAUUUUCAUUAACCCUAAAAUCUCCUCGCCUGCUUUUUAGUUAAACUGUAACUAAUUUUGAAAUAUGCAAAAUUUUAGCAUAAAUAUUGAUUUUCUCCUACAUUAUCUUAACACACUUUUUUUCCUCCAAAUAUUGGAUUUAUAUCAAAUCUUUAUUUUCAAAUUUUACUUUAUCCAAAUUUUCAUUUUUCAAAAUUUCAUCGUUAUUCUACUUUUAUUUUUGUAUUUCAUAUAUAUAUAUAUAUUUAUAAUAUUUAAUCUUAUUUUUUCUCUUUUCCUAUUCAUCUUCUUCCUUUCUCUUCCUCUUCAACCUACGGCCACACCACCGUCUCUUUUCUUCCUUCUCUUUUCAUUCUCCAAUCAACUUCACCACCGUCUUCCACCUACAUCGAACGUCAAGCAAAUUUUGUCGUAUCGUCGCAUCACCGUUAGCCCGAGUCACUCCGGUUCCGUCACGCCAUGUAUGUUUAGAUUUGAAUUGUUUGGUUAUUUGUUGCACCGAUCCGUCUCCGUUAGAAUUUGAUUCUCCACAAUUUGGGUAAGUUAUGGAAUUUACAUAUAGAGUGAAUUGAAUGGAUUAAAUUGUUUGUGGAAGUGAUUGAUUUCUCUUCAAUUAUGUUUAGGUCGGUUCGUUGCACUUUAGUUUGAAAAAGAAGCUUAAGUAAGGUUAUAAGCUAAGGGAUUCUCUACUACUGGACUCACCUAUAGUUUUGAAUUGUGCUGUCUGUAUAGUUACCUCGAUUGAGUAAAGAUGUCGAAACGAUAUAUAUACGUAUGAAUGUAGACUUGAUGUUGAAUGCAUAUUGUGAUUGUCUGGGAAUAUAUAUAUAUAUAAAUAUGUAUGGAUGUAGACAGGACGACAAUUGUAGAUUGUGUUUGUAUGGAAUGUGGAUGUGUGAACUUGUGAUUGUCGUUUAGAUUGGGUGUAUGUUAUACUAAAGUAUGGUUGUGUACUGGUGAAUUGAGGGGUGUUAUGACUAUAUAGUUUGAUUGACUGAUGUAUUGAUAUGUUACUGGCGGACAUUGGGCUAAAGUGAGAUAAGUUGACUAUUAGGGUGUUCAGUGAAAGGAUUAUAUGUUGAAGUAGUUGGUUACUAUGAAUGAGUUUUAAGAUGUUUAGAAUGGAUUGAGGGGAAAAUUGUUAGAUUUCUAUUGGGUAGUUACCUUGCAGGUGUCCUACAGGAUCACCACCUGAUAUGUGCAUCCUUCGAUAGCACUAGACUGAUAUGUGCAUCCUUCGGGAGCAUUAGACUGAUAUGUGUUUCUGCGGAACACUAGACUGAUUUAUGCGUCCUUUGAGGCGUUAGACUGAUUAUGUGUAUCCUACGGAUCACAAGACUGUGACUGUGCAGGGUACCCCAAUAGGAAGUUAACAGUUUCUUUUUCCCCUAACGGGACGAAUAACGGGUCUCUUAUUGGGUAUGUUUAUACUCAUCCUUUCAUGUUUAACUAUUUUAGGCAAAGGUAACAAAUGAGGUAGACUGACGAGGGACAAGAAGGAGACGUGAUUGCCAUAAGGGAAUGUCCUUCAAAUGCUUCUGCUUUAUGUUUCUUGUUUUCCUUUGUACAUGAGGUUGUUUAAAAAUUUUGUGAUGGAACUGAGUUUACGAACUGUUGUUUUGUGAAUAGUACUUUAAAGUUUGGAUAUUUGAAAUAGGGCCCGAACUUAAGUUUGUUUUCUUUGAUCGUAUGAUUUCAAGUGAAUUUUACUAUAUUUUGUGUCAAUCAAGGUCUCUUUGUCAAAAUUAAUGACUUCAACUUAGUUAGAAAAGUUGGGUCGUUACAACAAAUUUUAAGUAUUGAUGUAAGAAUUAUGUACUUCAUUAUAAAGGUCGAUAGCUUACAAAUAUUAACACGAUCGUGUACCGAUAACAAGACGAUUGUUUACACUAUUCAAUACGAUCACCAAUAUCAUAUGAUCGUGUACCCAUGUCAACACGAUAAUUUAUUUUAAUCAAUAUUAUCAUUUACCGUUCUUAAAUGUUCGUUUAUCACGGUUAAUAGGAUCGUUUAAUGUAUAUUAUUUCAUUGCACGAUCGUUUACUUAUUCUUGCAUUGUGUUUAGUAUUAUCAUUUUGUACAUUUUAUUCUUUUAUUCAGUAAUAAAUGUAUAUCUAUGUCUAUCUAUUUCUUUCUAUCACAAUUAAAUACUUAAUUUUAUUUUAUUUAUUUUUUUUACAGAUUAUAAUGUCUUUUCCUAUUGUUGUUUUUUACGGAGGUCAAUGGAAUGGAUGUAAUAUUUAUGAGAAUUACUUAGUUGCUGAAAUUUUGGUAGGUGUCCGAGUCAGCUUUAAUUCUCUAGUUGAUUUAAUAUGUGAACAGAUUCAAUUGGAUGGAUAAGUAGAAUUAUCUGUUUUACUUGAUUUUGGUAAAAGCAAGGUCCAACUGUGGUGCCAGUAAAGAAAGACAAUGAUGUGGCUUGGUAUUUAUCUUUUGCUAAAGAUGCAACUAAUAUACAUCCAUUAGUUGCUCAUGUAACUGUUGAUUUUUUUUAGAAGGUCUUCUUCUUCUUAGAGAACUACCUGUAGCUACCAUGCUUAGUUCAAUUAGAGAUGUAUUGCAAAAGUGGUUUGAUGAAAGAAGUAAAGCUACUUUUACAAUGAAGAGUUGUUUGACUUCUUGGGCUGAGAACGUGUUGCAUUUAGAAUAACAUGAAAAGUCAAGAAUUUUAUUGGUAAUUUUUUUUUUUUUUUUAAUGUUUGUAUCUCAGGUAGAUAUAAAUAGAUUGCUAUUUUUGUCCAUUCGAUAGAGAAAUAUAACAAUUUAUGUGUGCUUGUUUCAGAUAUAUAGAGAUAGAUAGCUAUCAAUGUCUAUUUGUCUCUAUUUGUGCAUGCUUUUUUUUUUAAUUUUUCUAUAUUUGUUUUAUGUAUUAGGUUGAUCCAAUUAGUAUGACUGAAUAGAAAGUAAUGGAUGAUACAAAAUGAUAAUGUGAUUUAUUUAUAUUGGUUCUAAUUUGAAAUAUUCAAAUUUACUUUGGAAAUUAGUAUAAUUAGUAUAAUAUAUAAUGAUACAUUAUAAUAUAAAGUUUAUAUUUAAUGAAACUUUAUUAUAUAAAUUUAAUUUUAGAUAAAGUUCAAAAUUAAUUUAUGAGAAAAUAUUUGAAUGAGUUCAAAUAUUAAUUUAAUGUGGAUUUGUUUCAUAUUAAAACUAUUAAUUAUGAGAUAAAGUUAUAUUUGAAUAUGAUUCAAAUUUAACUUAAGUUAAAUAUAAAAUAUUUAAUUUAGUUAUUAAUUAAUUGAAGAAUUAAUUAAUAGUUUAGUUUAAUAUUAUUUAAUUAAAUUUGAUUUAAUUAAAUUAAUAUAAAACUAUGGGUAUUGGAGAGAUAUUCAUUCAAUAAGAUUUAAAUGAAAUAUUAAUUAAAUAUGAUUUAAUUAAUUAUUAACUAAUUGAUUAAUGGUUAAUUAGUUAGUUGAUUUGAAACUUCUAUUAAUUUAAUAUUUUUUAAGUUAAUAGAAUCCUAUGAUUUUCUCCUACCCCGUCUCCUACUCAAUGAAAGAAAGAGAGUUAUAAAUAUGUAGAAGAAAAACAUCUUUUCUUAACCAAAAUAAAAUCGAUGAUUUUCUUUUCUGCAAAAUAGAUUGUAACGACCUAAUUUUUCGAAUUAAGCUGAAGUUAUUACUUUAAGACUAGAUUCGUCUUUAACCAUAAGACUUUAUAAUUUAAAAAAUAUAUUUUUUAACAACAUUAAAGAGUUUUUAUUCGGCUCUAUUUCAAAUAAAAUUUUGAAAGUGUAAAAGUAUCGAUAAUAAAGAAAGUUCAAGAACAUAAAAGUCGUUCAAUCAUGAAACCCAAAACAGUCUCAAUUACUAAAGAAAACCAAAAAAAAAAAAAAUAUAAAGUAAAAGCAAUUUGAAGGACAUUUCCCUAUGGCAGUUUCGCGGAAAAAGAUUAAACAUAAAAGGGUGAGUAUAAACAUACCCAGUAAGGGACCCACUACUGAUCCUGUUUAGAAGAAAAAUAAAAUUGUUAACUUCCUAUUGGAGGUGCCCUGCACUUUAAAAGUCUUGUGAUCAUGUAGGAAUACACAUAAGCAGUCCAAUGCCCUAAAGGACACAAAUACUAGUCUAGUGCUCUGCAGAAAGCACAUGUCAGUCUAGUGCUCUCGAAGAAUGCACAUGUCAGUCUAUUGCUCUCGAAGAAUGCACAUGUCAUUCUAGUGCUCUCGAAGAAUGCACAACAGGUGGUGAUCCUGUAGGACACCUGCAAGGCACACUACCCAAUCGACAAAGCUAACAAUUUUCCCUUAGUCCAUUAUAAACAUUUAAUCAAUCCAUUCCUAGUAUAGUCAAACUACUCCAUCAUAUCAUCAAUCCAACUUAACACACUUACGUUCAAUCUAUUCAAUCUAUCACAAAAUCAGUUGAUACUAUAACAACACACCAGACAGUCAAGAUAUAUAUAUAUAUACAUAACACCUUUCUCAGUUUACAAAUACAUUAUCCAUCGUAUCUACUUCUAUACCAGUAAGUUUACAAACACUAACUGUUGAGUUUCUACAGUAGAUUCUUGAAGAUGUGACUCUUGAACAGAUGGAUUCUCAUGGAUGAUCACAUGUUUGUUAUUUUGAUGGUCAUCAUUCUUGUCUAGAUUGUGAUGACUAGAAUCAUCACGAAGAUCAUCAUACAUGUUGUUAAUAUCAUCAAACAAUUGAUUCUGAUUCUAGUAUAGAAAGAAAAAAGGAUAAUAAAAAAAUAGUUACAAAAUGAUCGUGUAUCCUUAAGCAAACAAUCGUGUAGAAUAUCUAAACGGUUGUUUUACCAAGGGUGAUCGAUAUUUUAGAUGGGAUAUGCGAUCGUUCAUAUGUGAUAUGUGAUCGUGUAAAGAUAUAUCAAACCUUUGUUCUGUCAGAAGUCGUGCUAAGAAGAGUUGAAAGCUUGUAAUAAGAUCCAUCAAAACUGAAAGAUUUUACAUCAACACGUUCCUGACACAGUAAUGCAGUAUCAAUGAGCAUCAAAUUACGUGAGAUACGUAUUAGAAAAUAUCUAACUGCUCAGUUAAUUUUUUAUGGACAUCAAAUCACCUUUUUUCAAGCUUAAGGAAGGAAAUGUCGACACUAUAUAUGUCAGAGUUGUGCAUUGCAAUGGAAGUGCCAACACGAGGUGAUACAUGUGUGUCUGGGAUGUAAAUGCCACUCCCCGACUAGGACCAACAUAGACUUAGGGAGAAAGCAUGCUAGGAAUUGGAGUUGUGUCCUCAAUUUCUUCAAGGGACUUGAGCAUUUCUUCUUACACUAGAAUGUCUCCUGUUCAGAGAGUUUAUAGGAUUUCUCAAGGCCAUUUUUGCAUACUUAACAGCUCUUGACAACGGUAGAGAGUCUAACUCUACACUUUCAAGGGGUUCCAACUCCACCACUCGCUGAGCCAAAGAUAGAGACGAAUCAUUAAUGAUCCAGUAAGCAACAUGAAACCUUGUAAUUUUGGGGUUAACGGUAGUCCCUCCCAUUACUAGCUCAACACUUAAACGGAGUCUCCUCUAUAAAAUAUAAAAUAAUACAGACACAAAUAGUGAAUGAAAUCUUGUGACGUAACAAACACAAAUUUUAGGUAUACUGCAAUUUGACUAAAUAUUGAACAAGAAAACCCAAGGGAAUACACAAAAAUCCAACGUUUUUAGGGGUCAAUUUGGAAAAUGGCAAAACUACUUUUUCUUUUCAAUUUUAGCAAACAACAUUUUUUGCGCGUGCAUGGUAUUUUAUAAAAUACCAAAAUAUUCAACUUCUCCAACUAUAAUUAUUUUGUUUUUACGUUAUAAUUAAUUUAUGUUAUGUAUUUAUCAACUUUUAAUUAAUUUUUACUUGAAAUAGAUACAUUAACUCAUAUCAUAACUUUUCUCUUAAAAUCUCAGGACUCAAUUAAUUAAUUCAAUAUUUUAAUAACAUUAUUCAAUCUUAUUAAUUUCAAAAUAAUCUAAUUGAAUUUGAAUUUCAAAAUAACCAAAUUGAAUUUCAAAAUUACAAAAUUAUUAUUUUCUAGAAUUUGAGAAUCUCAACGAUAGAUUUUAUAUUAAAAUAAACUUAUCUCAAAAUAAUUUUAAUGACUUGAAUAUCAAGAUAAUUAAAUUAUUAUUUUAAAAAUUGGAAGAAAAGCACAAAAAGCGCACACGCCCACUCACGUACACACGCACGCGCGCGUAUACGCACACACACGCACACGCACACGCACAAAAGCGCACACGUGGACACUCACACCCACGCACACGUAGACAUACACACCCACGCACACGUGGACACGCGCAUACGCACACACGUACGCACUCACGCACACGCACGCACACACGCACAUAUGCACAAAGAUGUAUAAAUGAAUUAAAAUUAAAAAAUAACUACAAUAAUUUGACUUACUAACGUUAAUUAAAUUAUAAUUUCUAUCAAUAUUGGUUUAAAAGUGUCAUUAAUGUAAUUAUUUCAAUAUAAUGCACUCUUAUCCAAUUUUACGAACAAAAAACAAGUCGAAUAUGUACCAUUAGAUGACACUCUUUGUCAUAAGAGAUAUAGCAACGUUUUUAUGGGUCAUUUUGAAAAAUGGCAAAACUACUUUUUCUUUUAAAUUUUAGCAAAUAGAAUUUUUUACACGUGUCCAUGAUAUUUUAUAAAAUACCAAAAUAUUCACCUUCUCAAACAGUAAUUAUUUCGUUUCUACGUUGUAAUUAAUUUAUGUUAUGCAUUUAUUAGCUUUUAAUUAUUUUUUACCUGAAAAAGAUACAUCCUUUUUCUUAAUAUCUCGGGACUCAACUAAUUGAUUCAAGAUUUUAAUUUUAUUCAAUCUUACUAAUUUCAAAAUAACCUAAUUAAAUUUCAAUUUCAAAAUAACAAAAUUAUUAUUUUUCGAAAUUUGAGAAUCUCAACGAUAGAUUUUGUAUCAAAAAUAACUUUAAUUGAAUUUCAAAAUUAAAAAAUAUUAACUUGUUCGCACACAAGCACACGCGCACACGUGCACAACGCACGCACACACACGCACACACACCCAUCCACACACGCACACGCACACGCACAUAUGCACACACGCACAAAGAUGUGUAAAUUAAUUAAAGUUAAAAACAAAUACAUUCAUUAUGUUCAGAAAGAGUUUUAAACCAUGUUCAUUUGACUUAAUAACAUUGAUUAAAUUAUAAUUUCUAUCAAUAUUGGCUUAAAAGUGUCAUUCGUGUAAUUAUUUCAAUAUAAUGCAGUCUUAUCCAAUUUUACGAACAAAAAACAAGUCAAAUAUGUACCAGUAGAUGACACUCUUUGUCAUAAGAGAUAUAGCAACGUUUUUAUGGGUCAUUUUGAAAAAUGGCAAAACUACUUUUUCUUUUAAAUUUUAGCAAAUAGAAUUUUUUACACGUGUCCAUGAUAUUUUAUAAAAUACCAAAAUAUAAACCUUCUCAAACAGUAAUUAUUUCGUUUCUACGUUGUAAUUAAUUUAUGUUAUGCAUUUAUUAGCUUUUAAUUAUUUUUUACCUGAAAAAGAUACAUCAACCCAUAUCAUAACUUUUUUCUUAAUAUCUCGGGACUCAACUAAUUGAUUCAAGAUUUUAAUUUUAUUCAAUCUUACUAAUUUCAAAAUAACCUAAUUAAAUUUCAAUUUCAAAAUAACAAAAUUGUUAUUUUUCAAAAUUUGAGAAUCUCAACGAUAGAUUUUGUAUCAAAAACAAUUUUAAUUGAAUUUCAAAAUUAAAAAAUAUUAACUUGUUCGCACACAAGCACACGCGCACACGUGCACAACGCACGCACACGCACGCACACACACUCAUCCACACACGCACACGCACACGCACAUAUGCACACACGCACAAAGAUGUGUAAAUUAAUUAAAGUUAAAAAAACAAAUACAUUAAUUAUGUUCAGAAAGAGUUUUAAACCAUGUUCAUUUGACUUAAUAACAUUGAUUAAAUUAUAAUUUCUAUCAAUAUUGGCUUAAAAGUGUCAUUCGUGUAAUUAUUUCAAUAUAAUGCGGUCUUAUCCAAUUUUACCAACAAAAAACAAAUCGAAUAUGGAUCAGUAGAUCUACACUCUUUGUCAUAAGAGACAUAACAACGUUUUUAGGGUCAUUUUGAAAAAUGACAAAACUACUUUUUCCUUUGAAUUUUAGCAACUAGCAUUUUUUGCACGUGCAUGGUAUUUUAUAAAAUACCAAAAUAUCAACAUUCUUCAACUGUAAUUAUUUCGUCUCUACAUUGUAAUUAAUUUAUGUUAUGCAUUUCUCAGCUUUUAAUUAUCUUUUACUUGAAAUAGAUACAUCAACUCAUAUCAUAAUAUUUUUCUUAAUAUCUCGAGACUCAACUAAUUAAUUCAACAUAUUAAUAAUUUUAUUCAAUCAUACUAAUUUCAAAAUAACCUAAUUGAAUUUGAAUUUCAAAAUAACAAAAUUGAAUUUCAAAAUAACAAAAUUGAAUUUCAAAAUAACAAAAUUGAAUUUCAAAAUAACAAAAUUAUUAUUUUUCGGAAUUUGAGAGUCUCAACGAUAGAUUUUGUAUUAAAAUAACCUUAAUUGAAUUUCAAAAUUAAAAAAUAUCAACCUGUUCACUAUCUUUAUCUCAAAAUAACAUUAAUGCCUUAAAUAUCAAGAUAAUUAAAUUAUUAUUUUAAAAUUGGAAGAAACUCAACAUUAAAAAUAUUAACUUGUCGGACACAAGCAUAGAAGCACUGCGCACACACGUACACAUGCACACUUACACACACGCGCGCACACGCACACCUACACACAGACACCCACAGACGCACGAACCCACGCACACACACAUGCACACGCGCACGCAUGCACACACACACCUAUCCACACGCACACAAGCACACACACAUGCACAAACGCACACACGUGUACGCACAAACCUUAUCUCAAAAUAGUUCCUAUUUUUGCUGACAGUUUAUUUUUUGCCAUCGAUAGAGGAUCUUCCAAUAGACCUACGUGACGGUGUGUGUUGACAGCUUAAUUUUGUUGGCAAAAGAAAAGUUGAUUAGUUUUUGAAGAUUUACUGACGAUAUUUGUCAUCGACAAAGGGUAAAUUUCUUGUAGUGCAUGUACAUCAAACAUAUCAAAUUUGUUAAGUGUACCAAUGAAGUAUAACAAGUUUAUUAGUGGUGUAUCACGUGUAUCAAACUUAUUAGUGAAGUCUUUAAGUGUAUCAAACUAAUCAAGUGUAUCAAGGCCUCAGGGGUAUCAAGUGUAUCAAGAAGAAUCAAGUGUAACGAGAAGUAUUAUGUGGAACGAGAAGUAUUAUAUGUAUGAAGAUGUUUCAAGUGUGUAUCAAAAAGUAUCGAGUGUAUCAAUGAGUACCGAGUGCAUGAAUUGUAUCUAUCAAAUGUAUCAAGUGUAUCAGUAAGAAGUAUCAAGUGUAUCAAGGGUAUUAGGUGUAUCAGACGUGUAUAAGGUGUAUCAAAUAUACAUCAAUAACGAGGGCAUUUGUGACAUUUUACCUCUUGAUGUGUGAGUUGGUCUUUGUUUUUGUCAUUUUCUCAAAUAAUAAAGUAUGUGUUCUAUGGACUUAAUUAUUAUAACUUAUUUUGCCAUUUUCGCAAGUGUCCCUUAAUUGUAAUACAUGUAUAUGUGACAUAAUCUAAUCAAACUAACUCAUAAAUGGACUUAAUGUAUCAAGAGGUAUUAGGUGUAUCAGACGUGUAUAAGGUGUAUCAAAUGUACAUCAAUAACGAGGGCAUUUGUGACAUUUUACCUCUUGAUGUGUGAGUUGGUCUUUGUUUUUGUCACUUUCUCAAAUAAUAAGGUAUGUGUUCUAUGGACUUAAAUAUUAUAACUUAUUUUGCCAUUUUUGCAAGUGUCCCUUAAUUGUAAUACAUGUAUAUGUGACAUAAUAUAAUCAAACUAACUCAUAAAUGGACUUAAUCUAUCUCAUGGACCACGAAUUCUUCAAUUACUUGCAAAUUUGGUGAGUUCCUUCAAAUGGUGGGCGGAGAGCUUAAUUUUGAGAGAGAGGAAAAGUCGUGAAGAGUAUUUGCGAGAGAGGGGGGAACGUCGCCAGAGAGCAUUUGCGAGAGAGCUAAAGACAGCGACGAUGUGGGAUGAAGUAAGGUUUUUUUCGGUCAUUGUUCACAAGUGGGAUGAAAGCUUCGAAUUAUUUGUUUUAAAUCAAAAAACGUAUGAUUGAAGGAAAACAUUGAUUUUUAUUAGGGUAAUUUUUUAAUGACACAUAAUUUAUGCCAUUAUUUACAAUGCCAAAAUUUUGUCAAGAAAACUCAAUUUGUGUCACAAAAAAAUUUGUAUUUUUAUUUUUUUAACGACACAUUUUAUUCCCUCAUAUCCCUUUUUCUUGAUUUCAAGUGUCAUUAAAACUUAUAUUUCUAAAUAAAUUUAUUCGACGAAAGUGGCUAGAUUGGUGGGUUUGACGGCGAAGGCUUGUUGUGGGAGCAACGACAACAGUGGUUGGAGUGUGGAAUCGACGACGGCAAGUGGCAAAAAAUUGGGGGCAAGGGUUCUUCAUAACGACUCGAUAGCCCACUUCGAAUUUUUUUGAAAUUUGAGGUUUUUUCAUUUGAAAAUUUUUUUAAUGACAAAAAAAUUGACGUUAAUUAAUGACGCAAAAUUUGUGUUGAAAUAAAUUAAAUUGUGUCAAUAUGAUUGUUUUAAGAAAUAAUCCAUAUUUAUAUUUUCAACAACACAAUGUACCUCAUCCCACCUCUUUUUUCUUUUAUUUUCAACGACACAAUGUCUUGAUUAAAAUCCAUUUUUCUAGUAGUGACUGAAAAAAAAACUGGACAGAAUCAUAAUAUCUUUGAUAAUUAAAUCACCAGUUGGUUUGAACAUAUAUAAUCUUGGAUCUAUUCUAUUAUGAUAUGACCAUGGUACAUCAUGAACAUACAUUGACUAAAAAACUUAAAUUGAUGAGUGAAUGUAAUAAAUUUAAUAUUAAUUAUAUGAUCAAUACUUUACACAUGUAUAUUGGUAUAUCAGUCAAUAACAGUAGUAAGACAAAUUAUAAAAUAUAAGGGAUAAAAGUCCUACACAUGCAUGUAUGGUAUACUCUCUUGAUAGCAAAAUGCAUUUAUGUCAACUCAUGUUUGAAUGCAUUUAUGUAGGAAAUUCAAUAAAAUAAUUAAGAAACCUUGCAAUAUGUGAGAGAUAUACGAACUUCAAACAAAUUUUACAAGUUUCAGCAAAAAUUUUCAAACAACUUUUAAAGUUUAAGCAAAAAGUAACCGUAGGUAGGAAGGGGAGCAAAAGUGGGGUCUCGAAUUAAUUCUGAAAAAUUAGUAGGCUUUCAAAAUUUAGGUUCUAGAAGUAGAAUUAUUGCAGAAAAAUAAAUAAUUGCAUCAUUCAAAUUGAAUCAGACAUAUCAGGAUGUAUAUAUUCUCCACAACGUAUAAUGGAGUAUAAACAUAAAGUUUCUAUAUACAAAGCUAUGUAUCUCUACCCUUGACUUCUCUUUCUCUCUUUCUACCUUUUUUAUCCUUUCUUUCUUCCAUUCACUCAAUACACUUGCAAGAACCUUCAUUUUUUUGUAUUUAAAUUUUCUUGGCACCAUCCUUUUUUUUAAUUAUCAAGGCUUUGUUAUUGUGUACCAGUAUUGUGUCGUGCCUCCUUCACUUCUCAUCAUCAUUUUCAUGUCACAUCUCUACCUUGUCAAUUUUCGUUUUUCACUCAGCUUUCUUUCUUCUUUUGUCUUCACUACUUUCUUCGCUCCUUCUUCUCAAGCUCUAACUUUUGCUAUUAUCAACCAGUCUCAAAUGACCAUUGGAAAACCUAUAGCCCACUGAGAGGCAGCCAAUAUAGUAAUGUCUCUAAUGAUAAACUCCAAUGAAAUCAAAAGUUCUUCUUUAAGAUUUGGAAAAAUAUAUUAGAUAAACCCGGACGUGGUGAACGCGGUGAACGCAGACGCACGGACGGUGAACACGGCAGAAGUUAGAGAUCCUCAGAGAGAACUUGGCAUUUUCGAAUGCGGUAGAGACAAGUCUAGGGCUUCAAAGGAUUCAACCCAAUAUUUUCUUUAUAUAUAUAUAUAUAUAAUAUAUAUUAUAUAUAUAUAAAUAUAUUUAAUAACACUUGACGUUUUCAAAAACGUCAAGAAAAACGAUCUUACUUAACGUCUAAAAAAACAUCAAGAAAUUUAAAAAAUAACUCUCUCUGGCUUUUUAUAAAAAUUCUUGACGUUUUAAAACAUAAAGAAUUUUUAAGAUAUUUCUUGACGUUUUUAAAAUGUCAAGUAAAAGUACAUAUUACUUGACGUUUGAAAAUUUUGAAGAAUAUUGAAUAUAUAAACAUUCUUGACGUUUAAAAAUGUCAAAAUUUUUAUAGAUAUUUCUUGACGUUUUUAAAACGCCAAGAAAAAAUACAUAUUAGUUGAUGUUUAAUAAACGUCAAGAAAUCUGAAAAUUGACCUACCCGCCUUUUCGUAAAAAUUCUUGACGUUUUAUCUUUGGAACUACUCCUUUCUUGACGUUUUUUUUGAAAAAAAUGUCAAGAAAGAAAAACAACAAACGUCAAGAAAGGCCUUUUUUGUAGUAAUGACAUACAUAAAUAUAUAUAUAUACAUAUAUAUAUAUAUAUAAUGAAUUAAAAUGGUUUUGUUGCUUUACUGUUUUACUCUAUAAAGGAAGAGCAUUAUAAAUAUAUUAUUGAGGAAACAUUUUUUGAAAUGACUGGUUUUGGAAGUGUCAUUAGAUUUUUAGUUAGUUAAGCACAUUUUCCUCCCAAAUAGUAGUCGAAAUACAACUUUUUUUAAGAAGAAGAAACCGAAUCAUUCAAACUAAGAUAAUCCUAGGAUAAGAGUCAUUAUCUAUUAACAUAGAGCUAAAGUUACAAGGUUGAAGGCUAGAGGGAAGCCCGAAACAACCUAAUCUAACAAAGCUUAAAGUUAAGAGUUGGUAGUAACAUCAUAUUGGUUACAAGAUGAAUGACGCCUAGACCAAACUCCGAUCAAGUUACAUAUGUCUUCCCACAAGUAAACAAUAAACCUUGAUUUAUCCUUAAAAAUUCUAUUGUUUCUUUCUAUCCAAACAGUCCAAAGUAAGCCAGUUAUGGAGGGAGGAAUACACAUUAGAAAGCUCAGUUAUGGAUGGAGGAAUACACAACUUUUUCUCAUGGUCAUUUUCCUCGUGGGCAUUAUCUUCAUGUUUCUUCUUAUUCCGACUAAAAUACAAGCACAAAUUAUUCUUCGCCUUCGUAUAGGUUUGUUUGAAGAAGAUUAAAAAAGUCCUUAAUUUAUCUCGACACUUCCAAAACCAGAAUAUAAUACCCGUGCUACAUAAAUCCCUCUUUCCAAAUAGUCAAACAUGAACUAUCCAUGAAUAUCUUGAAUAAACAAGAGAAACCCUAACUAAACCCAAAUAGAAAAUACGCUGCAAUCUAAAAUAUACUUAAAGAAACAAAAAGAAGUUUUAAUGAUGUGGGUUUUUUACUGAUCUUCUUCAACAACAAAAUAACUCAACGCCACAGUUCAAUUUUUCCUUCCACGAAUUGGUUUUUAAAGAGUUUUCACCGCGAAUUUAUCUUUUUGGUUCAACAAGUAAACAACAUGUGAAUCCCCAAAUGCAAGGUUUUAUUAAAAAAUUAAAAUAUAAUUUUUUUAAAAAAAUUAUAAUACCUAAUUUUUUUUUAUAUAUUUAUAACCUAAUUUUCUGUCAUUGCAUACUUGAGAGAAAUAUAUUUUCAAUUAGCAUAAUAACCUUUAUAUAGUAAAUUAAAUUUGUAGAAUGAGAAAAGACCUUAGAUCCAAAAAAGUUAUUUAUUUAUUAUUGGAGUGAAUUGUCUAAUUAAUGUAGUUAAUGGAUGGUUUUGUAACCAUAAAAAUAAUGAAAAUAAUUUUCUAAAAGAAUGAAUGAAAAUUUGGAAAGUUAAAAGGUUUUAGGAAUUAAAAAAAGGGUGUAACAUUAUAAAAGACUACCAAAUAUACUGUAAGAGACAUGCAUUAAAGAAGCUAAGGCAUGCAUACUACCAAAUAUACUAUAAAUAAACCAGAAUUCUUUUUAAGAAAUUAAACAACUAAUUAAAUAUAAAGAAGAAAGAUUAGAAAAUGAAUGAUCAAACAAACUAUGACUCAUUUAUUUUUGACAGGUUCGGCCAGUAUCACCUGACAAUUCAUUUUCACCAAGAGAAUAAACAUGAGUAGCCUUGGAAUCAAGUUCCUCCGAUAAAAGCCACGGAGUUGAUGGGUUAGAGACAGAACCAGAAUUUGAGUUCAACGAUCUGGAUGGAAAAUUCUGAAACUAGCAGCAACAAGAAGUUAAGAUAACGAAUUAUUUUCAAUAUAGAAAGGCUAAUUGUAAGAAGUUGUUAAUGAAGUGUCCAAAUGCAUUAUGGUAAUAUUGGGUGCAGAUUGUUUGGAAGUUUUAUCCGUGUGCUGUGAAGCACCACAGAGUUGAAGCAUAUGAAACCAGUGUUUAUCUGACAAAAAAUAAUGUCAUGAUCAUUGCCUUUCCAUUCCAUAAAUUUAUGGAUAGCAAAAGAAAGAGAACUCUCAACACAUGAAUCACCAUAAAGACACACAUGACAACAUUAUUUUGGAUGAAGUUCUAAUAUUGCAACCAUGGAGGAAAAAUCAGCAAAUCUUAAAUAGAUGUAGUAGUCCAAAUGAUAAAAGUUUGUCUCAAGAUAAUAUUUCAGUAACUGCAGAUGCAUUGUGCUGAAUCUAACUCUUGUGUUUCACGGUAAUGAACAAGGACAAUGUGUUCAAAGGUCCUGAACAAAAAGCAGAAGCAAGUCAUAAUUAUAUAAGUAGAACACGAUAUACUGCCACUGUCUAAUUUCAUUUUUCUUUGCUUGUGGCAUGAUGGGGAUAGACCCCACUGAAACAACUGGUAGCAAGCAAUUUAACAAUUUUCUUUCAACCAUAACAUACUUAUCUAGGAGCCAAUAACCCGCGAACAAAGGUUGGGCUAUCUAGUCCGUGGCAUAGUAUACAUGUAUCCUUUCUACAUUACCAACCUGCUGAAGAGAAAGAAAAGAUUAUCAAAGCACACCUUUCCUUGGUUAUUAAGGCUGUAAAAGAAUGAAAAUUACCAUAAAUCUAAACAUAGUUAAUAUUAGACCAUUGAACAACUUAUAGAUUCAAAAGGAAAGACUCAAACCACCAAUAGACUGGUUAAUCAUUUAAAAUGAUCUCCAACAACAUGAUACGCAGUAUAUCGUGCUAGAUCCAUAAUUACCAGAUGUGGACUCCUAUGGUAAUUUCAUUGAUGAUACGCAGCUAGUAGGCAAGAUUAUGAAAUGAAGACGGUAUGUGAGACGAUUGAAAAGAUCAAGAUGAUAAAAUUAUAGGGAUUUGAAUUUAUAUCUUAAGAACACCAGAGUCAAAUGCUUAAGAUGAUUAACUGUGUUAAAUUUAACUCUAUAAUAUAUAAAUUAUUAGCAAAAACAGUAGAAAUUACUUCAAAUUUGUAGAGAGAACAUAUAAAUUAUAUUCUAGAGAAAGAGCAUCUGAAUUAUAUUCUACAGAAACACGAGCCCAUAGUAUAUGUACUGAGUAGCAAUGACAGUGAAAAAGGGAAUAGUAAGUAACUAAUCUCAUAAACCCCUUUCUCACAUCUAACCAAGUUCUUUCACAACAUGCAAAAGCAUCAAAAUAUUUAAGAAAACUUCCAAUAUUGCAUUUGGAACUCAUUGAUUGACUUCAACGUUUAAGAGUCCUAAAAGACACAGCUUACUUUCUCACCUCUCACCACUAAACCUAUGGCAACAUCUUUUUAUAAGAUAUUAAGCUAAUCUUUAGAUUGUUUACCGAAUAAUCGUCUAUUGUUUUGUAAUUGAUCCCACCAAGCGCUUACGCCACCUUGAAGUUUGAGAGCAACUAAUCGAACCUUCUUGUGUUCGGGUGUAUUGGCAUAGUCGAAAAAAAUUUCUACGUUCUUGAUCCAAUCAAGAAACUUCUCCACGUCCAUUUGACCAUUGAAGGUAGGGAGAUCCACUUUCAUACGUAUUUCUUGAUCUUCUUGAAAGUAUGGUCGAAGUCCAAGCCUUUGUUGAGGUUCUUGAUGAAUGUUCAGCAAGUUGUUCAUCGGAAGAGUCAGAAUCGUUUAAGAAAUUUCCAAGUACGUUGUUUCCAUACAAUCGAUUAUUGUUGAUGUGAAUAGGUUGAUUUCUUAGUAGUUCUUGGUUUACAACAGGGUUUAUUGGUUUUUCUUGUCUUUCUUGGUUUGCUGCAAUUGGGUUUCUUGGGGGCUGAAUUGCUUCUUCUAAAGGUUGGACAUGAAAUCGGGUAAAAAGGUUUGUUAAUUCUACUAACGAUUGCUGUAUAUUCGAUUGCCCUUUUCGAAGUUCUUCAAUAGCUUGUUCUACCAACUGCAAGCGUUGGUUGAAGGAGGCUUCCGCGUCCAUGGAUAAGAGUGGUAGGAUCCAAGUUUUUUUAGGGAAGAGUGAGCUAGGAUCACGCUCUGAUACCAAUUGAUGCAGUAAUUGCAAAGCUAGAAAUCUUUAUGUAUAAUGCCUCUUUUUUUAUGUCUUAUUAAUGAAAAUGAGAAGCUUUUUUAUAGGCUGGAGAUUACAAGAGUUGUUAAACUAACUUGGGGUUGAGUUAGUUUAACUUGGAGUUGAGUUAGUUAUAACUAACUCAAGAUACAAAAUUGGUAAUUCAAAUAACUAAUCCUAAACUAUAAAAAUGGUAAUUCAAACCCCUCCUCUAGGAUAAAACUCAAGAAACAUCAAGAAGGUAGAUGUUCUACAUCAAAGUGUAGAGAACGAUUCAAAAUCCUUGGUGAAAGGAAUGAAUGUUAACUAAUGUGUGUUUAUGUGAAAUUGUUAUGUUAUGAGUAUGUUAAGGAUAAAGAAUGGUUUAUGCGAGAUAAAAUUAUUUGAUGUUGUUUAUGCGAAAUGAUGUCUAUGAAAAGGUAUUGCGAAAAGGAUUUCAUAAAACCUUAGUCUUUUAGACAUUCUUUCAAAAAUUCAUCUUCCAAGAUGAGGUGUUUAGGCCAAGUAGAGAAGAAGGUUGAAGGAUUUGCAGCGAGAUGACCAGACGUUUUGAAAAUAGUUAAGCAUUGGUUGUUUGGUCAAAGUGUUGUAAUUAUGUAUCAAACACAUGUUAUUAAUAAACAUCUUGGUAGGUAUUUAUUAUACUAAAGUCAAAGUGUUGGACUUUAGUAUUGCAUGGACAUACAAUUUUGAAUGAAAAAUCCUUAUAAAUGGGGCCUUUGAACUCAUUUGAUGGGUUGGCUAUUAUAUUUGGGCUUUCACACCAAAUGGAAUUUCUUUUUCUUAUUUACUUAAAAAAAAAAGAAAAUUUACCACGCCCAUUUUUUUCAUCUAUUUCUCUCGUCCGGUUCUUUCAUCCAACGGGUCCCACAACUCGAUUAUGAGUCUAGAGGAUACUAAGUCAAACUUAGUGGUUGUUCGAAUAAAACGCAGCUUCAAAUGUAAGUAUUCUAAAAACCUUAUUUUUUGGUUUAGUCUCGUUAACUAAGCCCAAUUAGGGUAGAAUUUCGAUUCUUUUUCUGUUGUGCAUGUCUUAGUUCUAUCAGUAACUCCUUUCAGGGUGAUAGCUCUCAUCAGCAGACUUUCCAUUGCUGGUUUCUUCCUUAGUCAUCAUUGUAUUGUUGUUUUCCACAAUAGAUAGGGUGAGUUGCAGUUUUACAUGAAAUGCACUGCUCAACCCACACUCUUUUCUCACUAGUUCCUUAUUCUCAAUCUUCAACGCAAAUUUCAUCAUCUGGGCCAACCCAAUCGGUUCCACGGUUUCCACUUCCAUUUUUAUUCAUGGGCUAAGCCCAAUCAUCAAAGUCUCCUCUAACACUACCGUUUGAAGAAAUGCUACCAGAGCUAAAUAUCGAUCAAAUCGGUUGCGGUAUUCUUCUACAUUCAUUUCUGUUUGAUUGAGAAAAAUCUUCCAACCAAAGUUCCUUCUCGAAUUGAUCGAAACUGUACAAGCAUUCGUUCUUUCAGGUCAGCCCAAUUCUUAAAAACUUCCAACUCUUCUUGUGCUUGGUACCAAUCCAAUGCCAGAUCAUCAAAACUAAUAACGCCUGUGGUUAAUUUCUCUGAAUCGGUAAGAUCAUGUAUCUUAAAGAAGCGAUAGGCUCUAAAUGUGAGACCCAUUUCUAAUUUGAGUAAUGAAGUAAAAUUGGCUAGGUAUUAAGAAUUUGGCGUUUGAAUAAAUCAACGAAAAGGAUUAAGCGAUAAAAAAAUUUAUGGUUAAGUAUACGUUAUUGCGAUUCAGUGGGUAGUUCGCGAAGGAAGUUGUGCGACCCAUUUCUAAUUUGAGUAAGGAAGUAAAAUUCGGCUAAGAAUUAAGAAGUUGGUGUUCAAAUAAAUCCAUGGAAAGAUUAAGUGAUAAGAUCUUUUACGGUUAAGUAUACUUUUUUGCGAUAAGUGGGUAGUUCGCGAAAGAAGUUGUGCGAUAAUGUAACACCCGAACUCUAAGGUAAUUAAUUUAAUCGGACCAUUCGAUAUUUUUACUCUUAAUUUUUGUUCGACGUCAUUUUGUUGUUUUGUCUUAAAAAAAAAAGUGUUGGAAAAGUCUUUCAUAAUAAUAAUAUAUUAUUAUUAUUAUUAUUAAUUAGCAUAAAAAAAAGGAAAAGAAAAAGAAAUUAAAAUAUCUUUUUCCUCUCUCCCCUCUCUCACGCGUGCGACACCCUCUCUCCAUCUUUUUCUUCUUCUCUUUCCUGUACCCUAACCCAGCCGACCAUCAUCUUCUCCCCUUCCCUUGCCGUUCAGAUCCAUGGCCUCCGCCCACCGCCGCGUGACCCUCUGCCCAGCCCCGCCGCGUGACCUCUGUCUCCGUCGAAGCCAAGUCCAGCCGUCGUCCAUUCCUUUCCUCUCUUCUUCUCCGUUCGUGAAGCCCAGUCGCCGCGUCAGAUCGUCGAUCGAUUUUGAGGCAGCGCGCACGCCUCCUUCUAGCCGCGCGUUUCCUCUUCUUCCAGCAACGUGUUUUUUCUUCUAACCGCGAUUCACAAACCGACGUACACUCUAAUCUGUUUGCACGAUGGUUUUUGUUUAGAAUCGAUUGCCGCUGCCCCUAUUUUUACUGAGAUCCGUCGAAGUAUUGUUGGUAAGAUUGAAGUUAUGAAAUUGUAGUCGUUUUCAAAACAAUUUAAGUAUGGGUUGUGAUGUUUUCAAGGUGUUCAAACGUUACGGAUGGGUUAAUUGACUAAUUUGAUAAAUUAUUCUUGAAGGUGUGAAAGGUAACCUUGGAUCACUUAAAUUCACAACCAAUUUGUGAAUUUUGAUUUCGAUUUCGUUUGCCCUUAUUUGGAUUGUUUCGUGGACGAUAGUUGAUUAAGGGAGCUUCCCUAACUUUGAGGUAAGGGACUUUCUACUGGACUCACCUAAAGUUUUUGAGUUGUGUUGGACUGUAUGGAUGAUGAUUAAGAUGUACACGUUUGGUUGCAGACUAAAUGUUUAGUGUAUGUUGUAUUUGACUGGAAACAUAUAUAUAAAUACAUUGAUGUGUGAAUUGAUGUGGAUUGCCGAAAGUAUACAUGUGAAUGACUGAAAUUAUGCUUAUGUGUACAUGAUGAUAUUAAUAGAUUGUGCUGUAUAAAGAUUUGGAUGUGAACUAGUGAAUUUGUUUCGGUUGAAUGUGGAUUAUACUGAACUGUGGUUUGCGCUGGUAAAAAUGAGGGGUGUUGUGACUUUGUUGUUUACUUGACAGAUGUAUUAAAAUGUUAUCAACGACCUUCGAACUUAAGUGAGAUAGGUUGACUGUUAGAAUGUUGAGUGAAAGAACUUUAUAUUUUGAAGUAACUGAAAGAUGUCAUAAAUUACCGUAAAGAUGGUUAGAAUGGAUUGAGGGGAAAAAUUGUUAGUUUUAUUGGGAUGUAUGCCUUGUAGGUGUCCUACGGGAUCACCAAUUUUUAUGCGACCUUCGGAGCAUUAGACUGAUAUGUGUUUCUGCAGAACACUAGACUGAAAUGUACGUCCCUCGGGGCGUUAGACUGAAAUGUGCAUCCUACGGGAUCACAAGACUGCGACUGUACAGGGUGUCCCAAUAGAAUGUUAACAAUUUAUUUUCCCCUGACGGGACCAGUAGAGGGUCUCUUACUGGGUAUUUUUAUACUCACCCUCCUUAUGUUUAAUUUUUCAGGCAAAGGUAAUAAAGGCAGCAAACCGGCGAGGGGCAGGAAGGAAGCGUGACCGCCACAGGGGACACUUUAAAAUUUUGCUUCCGCUUAGUGAUUUAUAGUAUUAUUUGUAUUCGAACGUGAGACUGUUUAGAAAAUUUUGAAGUUUUAAAGUAUUCAAAGAUUUGAAACUUUUUAGUUUUAAAUUUUCAUGUGAAUUUUAGUAAUUUAAAACUGGGGCCCAAACAAACAAAAUAAAUUUUGUUCUUUUGAGGUUUUAAAUUUUAAUUAACCAAGGUCUUUUGUCAAAAGUUAAUGACCUCGACUUAGGUAAAAAGUUGGGUCGUUACAGAUAAGAAGCGAAAAAGUCUUUGCGUAAGUUAAGAAAUGAAAGUUUUGAGUGUUAGACUAGGAGUUUUGGGUGGUCUUCGCGAGAAGAACCAAGUGUUUCGUGGAGAAGAAGUCUACGAGGAAGCCUUGGAGUUUAAGUUCGUGAUAAGAGUUUUAUGCGAGUAAAAGUUGGUUAGUUCAGGUGGAACGUUUCUUAUAAUAAAAAUAUAAUCAAGCGAUAAGGUUAUUCACGAGAAAUGUUAAGUGGUUGAAUUUAUUCACGGUUUGGGUUAGGCGGGGAGCAAGGUUUGUAAAGAAAAUGUCAAAUCUGAUUUGACAUGGGUUAACAUGUAAGAUUAAGGAUUUGAGCAUGACUAGGUUAAAUAUUAAGGAUUUGCAUGACUAAGUUAGUAUAAGGGAUCUAUAAAAUAGGAGAAUUUAGGUAACUAAGGAGGGGAUGACGAGAGUUUUGUUGAAAUGUUAAAGUGUUGUUGGUUUAGCCACGCGAAAAGAUGGUUGUGAGAAGGACUUCUUUAGUGAAGUUUGGUGAGUGCUUUUCAGUCAAAAGAAUUUAUGUUAAGAAACUUUAUUACGAUUUCUCUUUACUGAUUUGAAAGAAGAAUUCAGAUGAGAAUGUUUCAGAAAGAUUUCUACGAAAAGUUAUGUUUUCAAGCAUUAUUUAUAAUAUUAAAGCUUGAUUUGAUGACUAUGAUUUCAAUACUAUGUUUCUUUGAGAUGAUGCUAACUUUUGUGUGCACAUAAAGAGUGAAGGCCACCAUGGAGUGUACAAACUACAUGGUAAUAAGAAGCUGACUUAUGCAUUGAAAUGAGCGUAUAAAGCUUAGCGGUAUAGCAACAAAGACGAAUUUGUAUGUUCUCAGAUGUUGAUACAGUAGUCUAAACGCGAGGUAAUGAGACCAAGCGUAGAGAACGAUUCGGGAUCCUUGACAAAAUGAAAUGAUUUUUUAAGCAUAAAGAAAGGUUUAUUCGAAAUGAAAUAAUUUUUCGGUAUAUUUAAAUGAUUUGAUAUUAUUUUUACAAAAUGAUUAUGAAAAGGUAUUGUGAAAGGUUUUCAUAAAACCUUAAAGGAUUUAAAAAAAAAGUGGACCAUUCAACUUAAUUCCCAUCCACUAUCCUCUUGUCCAACAUGAAACUUUAUCUUAGUAAAACUUCUUGAUCCACUAUUUUACAAAAAUAUUCAAAACAAUACCAUACUACACCAAAUGUGAUAUUUUGGUAACACUUAAAAUGGUCAGAAAUACCAUUUUCCUGACUUUUUUUUCAUCGACCAUUAAAGAAAAAGUAUAGAUGAUGUUUCACAAAAACUUCCAAACCAUUGUGUUAGUUAUCGUUUUGGAUGAGGGUUGGGGUAGAGCAUCAAUACUCAAAGGUUGUUAAGAAUUAAGACCUAAGACUUGAAAACGAAACCGCCUGCCUGGUUGACAACAACACCAUCCCACUAGAGUGCACAAUGAUGAUUUAUUGCAUUAAGAAGAAGAUGGCAGUUAACCUUAGCGCCAUAAUCAGAACCUCAAUCCUCCCUUUGAUGAAAGCACCUAAAGGUGUCAUGCCUUUCCCCUCUACCACAUUGAAGCUCUUUGUCUAACACUACAAGAAAUGAGGACUCUCUCGAUGCAUAAAAUCAUUGGGAGAUAUAUAAAAAGCGUCAGAAAAGGCUUUUCUGACGCACUAAUAUACGUCGGAACACAAGUGAGGAAAAUGUAUCGGGAGAGGAACUCCGAUGCACAAUGUUGUGCGUUGAGGGUUUCUAGACAUCUUCCGACGUUGUAUGAACGUCGAAGAUGUUGUCAAUAUAGCAUCGAGAGAUGUCUAGGAACCAUGCGUCGGGAGAUCCUCUAUUUUUUUUUAAAAAAAAUAACUUCAUUUAAUUCCUAAAUUCAAAUUGAAAAUUUUAAAUUCAAACUCAACUUCAACACUUCAACCUCAACUUCAACACUUCAAUCUCAACUUCAACACUUCAAAUUCAAAUUUCUAAAACCUACAACUAAUUCAAAAUUCUAACAACACUUGAAAUUAAAUUUCAUUACUAAAACUUACAACUAAUUCAAAAUCUAAAUACUAAAGAAAUCUAAAAUCUAACACCUAAAACAAAUUUGAAAUCUAAAUACUAAAACUAAUUAACUAAAACAAAACAAUAACUAAACUAAACCACUUACCGAUGGCGACGACGACGGGACGACAACAGGGACGACAAUGGUGAUGACAAUGCCCUCUUCUUCUCAAUCUUCCUCUCGGUCUCCCUCUCCCUCUCUCAUUUUCUUUCUCUUUAUGUUUCCUUUAUGUAAAGAAUGGAGUUAAAAAAGACAGAGAACUCCUGACGCACGACGAAAACGUCGGGAAUAGCACCCUAUUCAUGACCUGAUUUGUUAAACGUCAGAAAUCCCUAAACAUAUUCCCACGCGAUUAAUGAUACGUCGGGAAUCCCUAAAUCUAUUCUCAACGUUGCUGCCACACGUAAGAGGAAGGCGUUACAUACAAUUAAUGAUCUGCCCUUCCUCCGACGGUUCCUAAGCUUUUAGCUUUUCUGCAAUCACCCCUUAUGCAUGUUCUCAGGCGAAUCUCAACCAAACCAUAACACUCCAUCAAAAUAAAGAAGAAGAGAGACACCUCAAAACCUUAAAUAAAGUUAAGGGAGAAGAAUGGAAUGACAGAGAAGAAGAAGAGGCUUCUCCGCUGCCACCACUACUCAAGAGGAGAAAUGUCCACGAUGACGCGUCUAACUCGUAUAAAAAGGAAAAAAGUCGAAAGCUAGACGUGGCCAUCGACCCUAAACCUCUUGCAAUCUGACCCCUAACUCUCUCAUUGCCUCCUCCAAAAUCCAAAUCCUUCAAUUCCAGUCCUCAUCCAAAAAUUGAAACUCCCCCUCAUCAAUCUUACCCAAGUCCUCUCGCAUGUCUAUUAUCCUCUCACCACCAAAUCCCCCAUCAUUAUAACAACAUCCUUCACCUCACGACCUGACCGAACAAGCCCUUACCCGAUCAAAAGGGCAUUGUUAGCGAAGAAGAAUUCCUUAGGGUUGAGGAGGAAGACCUGCAUCACAUUCCUCUCCCUCCGCACACUACUAUACGUAAUUCCAAGGAGGAAGACUUACAUCUCGCGUGUAAACACCGAUACCCAAUAAUCCUUAAUUCAUCUAAAGAACUCAAUAGGACAUUAGGGGUUGAUGUUAGGAGAAAGAUGGUUUAAGAUUGGAUAGUUUAGUUGAAGUGUUAUGGAAGAUGUGUUAAUAUUUUUAAGAUGAUAAAAGAAAAGUGUCAUCGUAACAAAGAAAGGCCUAAAGGGUGUUCGAAAAUUGGCUAAGUGUUGGCUAGGGCAUGUUGCAUACUCUAGGCGGCCAAAAGUGUCAAGCGAACCUCUAAAGAGACAUGUUGGGUGGCCAAAGGUUGAGAUGUGGUAUGGCCGAAAGGUGUCAAGACAACCUCUAUAAGACAAGGCUAUAUGACCAAGGGUAUGCGCUAGGCAAGGAAGCUAAGCAUCUAGGAAAUGUCAAGAAACUCUAAAGAAGUUAGAACGUGGAUAAGGAAUGUCAUGCAACAAAGAGGUGGGCUAUGUGGACAUAGGUCAUGCGGCCAAUGGGGCAAUUCAACCAAAUGCUAGUCAAGAUGGCAUGGUUUGUUGAAGGCAUUGAGGGAUGUUUGGGAGAUUAGGCGAGAAAAAAAAGUCUUAGGCAUUCUUGGCAGUAAGAAUUUACUAAAGAACCCUCAUAGAAAAAGGGAUAUGCGUCCAAGGAUGACUUAAGCAAUAUGAGGUAAGAUGUGCGGUAGAGUACAAGUGGACAACAUACAAGAUACCUAAGUUUUGCCAAAUAAGUGUCUUGCAUGAGUUGGAAAGUGGCAAGUAUGGGCGUAAGAGGUGAGAAAAAAAGGUUCAACCAAAGAGCAUGCAAGGAUCACUAUAUGUACAACUUUGGACGAAUUAUGUUAACAAUCAACUUGUGUUAAUUGGGUAACUCUACUUCGAAAAUCUCCUAAAUUGAGUGUAGUAUCAAGAGAAAGGCUACCAAGAAGAAAGGCAUUGAAGUGAAGAAAGACUCAAAGGUCAUUUUCAAAAAAAAAAAAAAAAAAACUUGAACAAUGUAGAGUAUUUUGAGCUACAUAACUCAAUACUUGGAAUUUGUUAGUGACACUUUGUGGUAAGCUAGUGAAGACAUUCUAAGUAAGUUUGUAGAAGGAAUCUUAUUGAUUUAAGCUUCAAAGUCGAGUUAAGUUUCUGGUAGAAAAAUCAUAUUUCUAGACAAGGCCAUGGGUGGGUUGAUUGCCAGGAUGACAAGGUGAGAUGAGCGUGUGUUUUGAGCGAAAGAGGUUAUUUAGGCUUGGGACAUGCAAGAAGCAUGUCCUGGCAUGAUCAAGCAGCCUGAGCCACGCGUCAUUACACACUCUAUUAUGAAAGUUGAGUAUAUUGCUACUUGUGAAGCAGCAAAAGAAGCAGUUUUGGUGAGGAAGUUCUUGCAUAAUUUGGAAGUUGUUCCAAACAUGAACAUGCCCCAUCACUUUAUAUUGUGAUAAUAGUGGGGCAUAUUACUAAUCCAUUUACAAAGACUCUCAUGGCUAAAGUGUUCGAGGGUCUUCUAGAAAGUCUAGAUCUGCGAGUUAUGUACAUUAGGUAAUCUAGGAAAAGUGGCAGAUGUGUAAUGGGUAUGAGGAUGCCCUAGUUUAUUGUAUUUGUAUAUACACAUUUUAUGUAAUACACUUGUACAUUUUACCAUUUUCAAUGUUAGAGGAUUACUUUAUUAUGAACAUCCCAAAGAGACGAGAGUUUUAGUCCAAGUGGGAGUUUGUUGGAAUUUAUGUCCUAAAACUCGUAGAUUGUAAAUAUAAUCCAUUGACCAUUGUUAAUAAAGUGUUAUUAUUGUAAUAAUUGUUAUUGAUUAUAUUAUUAGUUUUGUCUUAAUAACUCAAAUCCAAUAAACUAACAUCCUAAACUGUUUAAUAAGUAUUGAAUAGUAUGUAGAGACAUACAGGGAUCAAUGUUCGAGAUCAGCUUAAAGGGUCUAUAGUAUACGGAUAAGACUGGGUACCUUUAUCCUGGUAACAUUAUGAAUACGACUCACUUUGUAUUUGAUACAAAUACAAUGAUCCAAUGUGUUCAUGUAGUUGACAUGCGAGUGAAGGUAUCCUAUGCAAUGAGAUUGCAAUAGACUAGACUGUGAAAUAGUAACCACUUGGUGUUACUACAUUAACUAGUUAGGUUUCUAUUUCACUAGGAUGACCUAGAUAACUUAGUCUUAAUCUUGAGUGUAUUAUGAACUCAAUGAUCUUGGAUGAAUUUGACUUCAAAUACAAACUUGGAUUCCACAACCUAAACCAAAAUAAAAUAAUAUAUCAUGUUAAGAUGGAUUCACAUAGCAACAUUUUAUCAAAUGGUUGCAAUGUUUCAAAUAAGCAACAAUUAAAAUUCACAUAUCGAUUUGGCAUCUAUAAAUAUACAAACUAAAAAGUACCUAAAUGUCAAUUAUUUACCCAAUAAGGCUAACUAAGUAACCAACGUCUAAUAUGUUUUGCAAUGAAAAAGGUUGCCAUAUUGUUAAUUUGGCCAUAUUGUGAAGGCAACCUCUUAGAUGUGUUUGUGAGAAAGGAAAGAAAUACCAAAAUAAGUAUGGACUAAGAUAGUAUCAAAUAAAGUUAAAGUUGAAUUUUAAAGCUCUAUUUUUUUCAAGAUAGAGAAAUUUCAGCUAAAGAGGAAAACACUAAGGACAACCAAGCAAAAAAGUCUAACAAAUAUCAAAAGAGAACAUGCAGGAAAGAAAGAAUGUAAAUAAGGUUUUAUCCGCACCAAGCAAAAAAGUCUAACAAGUAUCAAAAGCUUCAUAAGUUGUACUAGAAUUCAAAGCUCUAAACUCUAAAGAAUGUAAAUUUCUUUGAAGAAAUUUGUGUAUAAAGGUCACACAGUUGAAAAUUCAAUACCUUUUCAAGAAUGUUGUUGAGAAGAUUAUUGUGAUGAAUCUUUGAAUCCAAAUUAUGGAGACAAGAUAAAUAAAUGAGUUCUGAUUCUAACUGACUGAAUGAGAGUUUAGAAAAUAAGAACAUUGGAGUUGAAUUAUCAGCAUUUAUUUUAAUCAAACUUACGAUAGCAAACCAAAUUAUAGAGAGAGAUCAAAUGCUAGGAUAAAGGAAUAAUCUUACAUUUGGUGAGUUCCCAAAUGUUGUGGUAGUCACGAGAGUUAUUCCACUCGAAUUGUCUUAGACAAGAGGCUUCCAUUCAGCAAGUACUGGUGAGAAUUAAAGUGGAAUGACAAACUUAAAAACACCUAAUCUUUAACAAACUUUUCCGACUUUUUGCAAUUAUUUUUUAACACAAGAUAUCAAAACACACUUAAAAACCAUAACAACCAAUUACCAUAAAACGGUGUCCAAUAACAAUAAUUGGGUCAACCCAAACAUCAUCAAAUUCUUGGGAAAGGUUGUGGACUAGACCUUCACCAUCUUGCCCCUAAAACAAGUUAAAGCUUAAGGAAAGAACACAGUAGAAACAAAAAUCAUAAACUCAUCAGUUAGAUAGUAUUGGUGGUCAAAACCUCAAGGUCUCACUUCUUCCAUUUUAUAUUACCAAAUUUGAAAAUGAUUUUUAAUAUAUGAUCAUUACUUGAAACAUGUUGGUGUACAAGUGUGAAUGAAACUAAAUCAAGUUUGUGUUUUAUGUUAUUGUUUUUGACAGUAUAUUUAUGUGCUAUGCAAUCCAUGAGAGUAUAUUUAUGUGCUAUGCAAUCCAGAAGGGGGAAUGCAAGCUAUACCCAAUUCAUAAUUGUAUUUGGAACACUAAUGAUUUUAGCACAAAUUCCAUCUUUCCAUUCUCUAAGACAUAUAAACCUUAUCUCCCUCACUCUAUACCUUGGCUAUAGUGCUCUUGCAACAUAUUAAAAUUCUCGUAAUUAAAAAUUCAUACACAAUUUAAAUUAAAUUAAACAUCAAGACCCCUGACGAAGAUGAAUCUCUGUUCAUUUUUCUUUUUAUUAACAAACAAAAGUUUUUAGGUCAACUUCUUUCAACAACCUCCUCAAGGAUCCUUAAUUAUCUCUUUCCAAGUUCAUAACCACUCUAGUCAUGCAAAGAUUAAGGUUCAUGGCCAAUCAACAAUUAAUCUGUGAUUAAGAUAUUAUGAACGCUAUUCACAUAAAAACAUGAAAAGAUUAAGAGCAAAUAAUCAGAUGCAUUACAAAGAAUAAUUCAUAAACUUUGUCUACAUCUAUCCCUAGGAUUAAGAGUUUAGCUACCCCAUACUUCACAAUCUAAAACACAAAACUCAAUACAAUACCCAUAAAAAAAAUUAAAGGAGAAGAAAAAGAAAACGAAGAAGAAAAGCUAGUGAUUCGUAUUAUUAUAAUACUGUGUAUAACAGUAUGUGUUUUUUAAUAUUCUCUGUUUCCAGCUCCAAUGUACCAAAAUAUUAUCACAAACUCCACAAUCCUUCUCUUUCCAAUCCCUAAACUAACCAAUGAAUCAUAUUCGCACGCUUGGUAGCCUUGUUCAAAAUAUUAUAUAUUACAAUUAUAAUAACUUGUAUCCCCCCUUUUCAAGCCUAAAAUGCAAAACCUUUCUUCCAUUCUCUAAGGCAUAUUUCCUCUUCUUUAAUUUUGCAUUCCAAUUUUAAAUUACAAAUUACAAAUUUUAAUCACAAAGGAAAAAAGGAAAAUUAUUACCUUUAGAAAGGGAAGAAAAUAAAUGAGUAACCAUGAAGGAUUUGGAAACGAAUAGAGGUUUAGCGAAAGUGGAAUGCGACAGAAGGACGGUGAAUGUGUUUACUCGUUUUCGAACAGAGAAUGUGUUUACGCAUUCCGAACGGUGAACAGACGGACGCAAAUCAACGAAGGUGAAGGGAACGCAAAGCAGACGGACGGUGACGGACGAUGAACGCAAAUGAAUGAAGGUGAAUGCUUAUGAACGCGAAGGGAAGUCUUUUCCGGCGAUGAACGCAGAUGAAUGCACAGAUGAACGCGAAGGGAAGGUUAGGUGAACGACGCUUUUGAUUUCGGGUGGAGAAGGGACAAAGUCGCGGCGAAUUAGGUUUAAUUAAGAAAAGGGGAAGUGAUCUAAUUGAAACGUUGGGUUUUGUAAAAGAAUAUUAACACAAUAAUUUUUUAGAAAUUUCUUGACGUUUUUAAAACGUCAAAAACAAAUUAAAAUUUCUUGAACUUUUUAAAACAUCAAUGAUUUUUUAGAAUUAUCUUGACGUUUUAAAAACGUCAAGAAUUUUUUAUAAAUUUCUUGACGUUUUUAAAAAUGUCAAGAACUUUUUAGAAUUAUCUCGACAUUUUAAAAACGUUAAGAAUUUUUAUAAAUUUCUUGAUGUUUUUAAAACGUCGAGGAAAACUAUAUAUUAUUGACGUUUAAAAAACAUCAAGAAAGUUGAAUUCAUAAACAUUCUUGACGUUUUUUAAACGUCAAAAAUUAUUAGAUAUUUCUUGAUGUUUAAAAAACGUCAAGAAAAAGUACAUCUUACUUGACGUUUAAUUGCAUAAAAAACGUCAAGAAAAAACGUCAAGAAAGUUGAAAAUUGGCCUUUCAUAAAAAUUCUUGACGCUUUUUUAUUUGAAAUCACAUCUUUCUUGACGUUUUUGGGAAAAAACGUCAAGAAAGGAAAACUACAACCGUCAAGAGAGCCUGUUUUUGUAGUAGUGAUUUUGGGGACAAGACUGAGUGGGGAGUUGGGAUUAUAAUUGCACAAAAUGGAAUUCACUCAUUUCCUACUGUAGGAUAAGUAGAUGAAUGUUAGCUUAAAUGGUGUCUCCAAAACUUAAACAAAGGGCCCGUACUCUCUCUAUGACAUGAGAGGGGUUUUUGUUUAUUAGUAGGACCAUAAACAAGUUGUUCAUUAGAGGAGCACUAGUUUUUAAGGAUUAGAGGUAACAUAGGGGUAAAGCGGUAAAUUGAUCCAACUGGUGUUACAAACACUCGUGAAGGACUAACUUACUAUUAUUGGUCUAUAUCCGUGGACACAGAAAUAUAUUUUUAGUGAGAAGAGUUCAGUUGUGAGUCUUUAGUGGAGUGUACACACAACUAACGAAUAUUGAUUAAUGUGGUUAAUGAGUUUAGCCAAUUAAUCUUAGAUCGUUGUAGCUUCUGAUCUGUAGGUCCACUAGGUCCCUUUCCUAGCUCGUAAAGGGUAAUGAGAUUUAUUUGUAUUAGUUGUAAUUUAAAAUGUUUAAAUUUAACUUGGGAAUUAGUAUAAUGUAUAGUGAUACAUUAUAAUAUAAAGUUUAUCAAACUUUACUAUAUAAAUUUAACUUUGGGGAUGAUUUAAAAUUAAUUUAUGAGAGAUAAAAUAUUUGAAUGAGUUCAAAUAUUAAUUUAAUGUAAAUUGGAUUCAUAUUAAAAUUAUUGAGAGAAACUUAUAUUUGAAUAUGAUUCAAAAUUAAUUUAAGUUAAAUAUAAGAUAAAUAAUUUAAUGUUAUUAGUUAAUUGGAGAAUUAAUUAAUAGUUUAGUUUAAUAUUAUUUAAUUAAAUGUGAUUUCAUUAAUUAUUAACUAAUUGAUUAAUGUUUAAUUAAUCAGUAGAUUUGAAAUAUAUAUUAAUUUAAUUGUUUGUAAAUUAAUAGAAUCUCAUAGUUCUCUUCUACUUCAUUUUUUAUUCCUAGAAGGAAAGAGAGUUAUAAUAUCUAGAAGAAAACAAUUUUCUUAAAAAAUGAAUAUAAUAAAAAAAGAAAAAAUAAGGCUAACGCUAUUGCUCUUUGCAAAAAGAAAAGAGUUUCUCUCAAUAUCUCUAAACUUUUUCCCAUCCCAAUUGGUUCCACAAACCAAUCUUAUCACAGAGGUACUCUUUGCAAUUUAAGCUCUCUUUGCAAUGGACAGUCUUCAAAGUUUUUUUAACGAUGUUUCUAAUGCUUUCCUUUCUCUCUCAUGUUUAAUAAAACAAAUUUCUCUUAAAACCUGUAGGGAGGCUACAUCGUAUCGAAUUUCAUACAACUGACGUGUUCAUCGAGUUACAACAAGUGCCGCACAAUAGUCUGUUCCAUGUUUGAAAAGUUGUGAGUGUGACACGCUGCACAUGAGGUUAGAACGAGACAUGGCAAGGCAAGCUCUACGCGCACCUGCCAACUUCUGCCACAAUAUUUUGUACGCAAGCUAAUGUCUUUGGGCUGUUUUUAUGGUAUUUGGAAAUUUUAAGCAAAGUUUUGAUAUUUUUAUGAUCAACAGGAAUUAAAUGGAAUUAUUUCCCAUUAUUUUCAUUAUUUUAGAUCAGAAGGAGAUCGAACAAAUUUAUAAGCCAAGGGUCCAAGCUACUCUCUAUAAGUGACAAAAAUGAGUUUAAAGUUGAUUUCUAAACAUGAAUUUACUAUCAAAUGUUUCAAGCAUGCUUUGAUGUUUGAAUAUUUGAGGAUACUGACUUAUAAAGUAUUUCCAAAGCAUGAAUUUAGAAACAUUUUGGUAAUGAAAAUUAUAAGCAAUCAUGAUUGUGCUAAGUUAUCAAAAUGUUUAAGCUUGAAAAUAAUAUUAGCAUGUUUUAGUCUAUACCUAAAAUAUUCUAAGAUAUAUAGCAACCCUUCGGGAGAGAUUUUCUUGUGCAUAGAGGUCAUUUGAUUUGGAUAUUCAGUAAAUACCUAGCUUUCCAUCAUUGGUAUUAGAUAAGAGAUGAAGACUUCUAAAGAUGCUUAGUUUCCCAUCUCAAGGGACGAGACCCUGUACGAAUGCCUAGUUUCCAUCUCAUUGUAGUUAUAACGAGAUAGGGCACAAUUGAUGCCUAGAGUUUCAUCUCGUAAGUAUCGUAUCACGGGAUAGGGCUUCUAUGCCUAGUUUAUUGUUUUUCGUCUUGACGAUUCUAGUAUAGCAACUGAAAGGGAAAGUUUGAGAUAAGUUGUUUGAGUUUGAUUUCAUUUAUGUUAAGAGUUAAUUGUUAAAUACUUAUUAUUUCAAACAAUGUUUUAUAAAACAAUCACUCAUUGGGCUAUUUAGCUCACUCUUUGGAUAAAUAUCCCCAUAUGGAUUACGUUGUUUGGAAAAUUAAACUGUCUUUAGUACUUCAAAGAAAACUUCCCUCCCAUGUCCUCUCACCUCAUGUCAUCCCAUUUGUGUUGAUAACAUGAAAAAUAUUUAGCACCUUUUAAUUGAUUAUGUCUUUGUAUCGAAAUGUUGGUUCCGUCUUCUCCAAACAUUCAAUAUUUGUUGGGAUUUUUUGCUCAAUCAAGGCUUAUUCUUGUUUGUUCUCGACCUGCUACCUAUGAUUUAUGAUUUUGUUUUGGACAUAUUAUUUUAUCAUUUUGUUUGGUUUUAUAUUUGUGGCUUUUUUUUUGUUUUGUUUUGUGUUUUGUUUUUUUUUUUUUUUGAAAAGGAGACAACCUCUUUAUUAAUAUUAAAAUAAUAAAAUAAUUAGACAAAAGCUCAUGGUACAAGAGAGUUAUACAAUGAACAUGUAACCAUGGAUCAGAGGGUGCACCUUGGCAUCUCAACUAGGUUGACACCCCCAUAGCACCCUCAUCAUAUCCAACCAAGCUAAAACCCAUAACAAAGGAGUAAUGUCCAAAGGCAAAACAAACACAAAAAAAGCCUUCUAUUUGUGGCUUUUGUUUUGAUCUUGUGUUGUCGCUUUUUGGAUGUGAUGAGGGCGCUAAGGGGGUGUCAACACUCAAACCUUAUGACGUAACAAAUGCAAAUUUUAUGACGUUUUUAGGGGUAGUCCCUCCCAUUACUAGCUCAACACUCAAACGGAGUCUCCUGUAUAAAAUAUAAAAUAAUACAGACACAAAUAGUGAAUGAAAUCUUAUGACGUAACAAAUGCAAAUUUUAUGUAUACUGCAAUUGACUAAAUAUUGAACAAGAAAGCCCAAGGGAAUACAAAAAAAUCCAACGUUUUUAGGGGUCAAUUUGAAAAAUGGCAAAAUUACUUUUUCUUUUCAAUUUUAGCAAACAACAUUUUUUGCACGUGCAUGGUAUUUUAUAAAAUACCAGAAUAUCAACAUUCUUCAACUGUAGUUAUUUCGUUUCUACAUUGUAAUUAAUUUAUGUUAUGCAUUUAUCAGUUUUUAAUUAUCUUUUACUUGAAAUAGAUACAUCAACUCAUAUCAUAAUAUUUUUCUUAAUAUCUCGAGUCUCAACUAAUUAAUUCACAUAUUAAUAACUUUAUUCAAUCAUACUAAUUUCAAAAUAACCUAAUUGAAUUUGAAUUUCAAAAUAACAAAAUUAUUAUUUUUCGGAAUUUGAGAGUCUCAACGAUAGAUUUUGUAUUAAAAUAACCUUAAUUGAAUUUCAAAAAUAAAAAAUAUCAACAUGUUCACUAUCUUUAUCUCAAAAUAACAUUAAUGCCUUGAAUAUCAAGAUAAUUAAAUUAUUAUUUAAAAUUGGAAGAAACUCAACAUUAAAAAAUAUUAACUUGUUCGCACACAAGCAUAGAAGCACUGCGCACACACGUACACAUGCACACUUACACACACGCGCACACACGCACAUCUACACACAGACACCCACAGACACACGAACGCAUGCACAUACACAUGCACACGCGCACGCAUGCACAUACACAUGCACACGAGCACGCAUGCACACGCACACACCUAUCCACACGCGCGCACAAGCACACACACAUGCACAAACGCACACACGCGUACGCACAAACGCACACACUUAUACACAUACGCACACGCGCACAAACACGCACGCACGAGCACACACACACCUAAGCACACACGCAAUAGCCUGCGCACACACACGCACGCACAAACACAUACAAACAUGCACACACCCACACAUAUAUGCACACGGACACUCGCAACAAACGCACGCACAUACACAUACGCACACCUACCUACACGCACACACGUACACACGCACAUAUGCAUAAAGAUGUAUAAAUGAGUUAAAAUUAAAAAAAAACUACAUUAAUUGUGUUUAGAAGGACUUUUAAACCAUGUUCAUUUGACUUAAUAACAUUAAUUAAACUAUAAUUUCUAUCAAUAUUGGCUUAAAAAGUGUCAUUCGUGUAAUUAUUUCAAUAUAAUGCGAUUUUAUCCAAUUCUAUUUGCAACAAACAGGUCGAAUAUGAACCAGUAGAUAUACAUGUCAUAAGAGAUAUAGGAACAUUUUUAUGGUCAUUUUGAAAAAUGCAAAACUUUUUGUAACGACCCAACUUUUCUAGGUAAGUCGAGGUCAUUAAUUUUUAAUAAAAGACUUUGUUGAUACAAAAUGAAGCGUAAGUCAAUUUAAAAAAAAAUAUGUCAGGCCUGAUUUUCAAAUAUCAAGAAAACUUAAAAAUAACACUAUUUACAAAUAAAAGUUUGUAAACUAAGUUUUUAGUACAUCUUAAACCUUAAAAGAAACAUAAGCGGAAGCAAAAUACACAUUUCCUAUGGCAAUCACGCUUCCUUCCUGCCCCUCGCCGGUUUGCCACCUUUAUUUCCUUUGCCUGAAAAUUAAACAUAAGAAGGGUGAGUAUUUUAAAUACUCAGUAAGAGACCCUAUACUGGUCUCGUCAGGGAAAAUAAAUUGUUAAAGUUCUAUUGGGACACCCUGUACAGUCGCAGUCUUGUGAUCCCGUAGGAUACACAUUCAGUCUAACGCCCCGAAGGACGUACAUAUCAGUCUGACGCCCCGAGGGACGUACAUAUCAGUCUAACGCCCCGAGGGACGUACAUAUCAGUCUAACGCCCCGAGGGACGUACAUAUCAGUCAAGUGUUCUGCAGAAACACAUAUCAGUCAAAUACUCCCGAAGGUGCAAAAUAAAUUGGUGAUCCCGUGGGACACCUACAAGGUAAACAUCCCAAUACAACCUAACAAUUUAUCCCCUCAUUCCAUUCAACCCAUCUUUCAGUUACUUCAAAUCACAAAGUCCUUUCUUUCAACAUCCUAACAGUCAACUUAUUUUACUACAGUCAUAUGUCUGUCAAUAAUAUGCUAAUACAUCAGUCAAUCACUAUACAGUCAAGUCAAUACACCCCUCAGUUCACCAGCACAAACCACAGUUCAGUAUAAUCCACAUCCAACUGAAACAAAUUCACUAGUUCACAUCCAAUCUUUAUACAGCACAAUCUAUUAAUAUCAUCAUGUACACAGAAGCAUAAUUUCAGUCAUUCACAUGUAUACUUUCGGCAAUCCACAUCAAUUCACACAUCAAUGUAUAUAUAUAUGUUUCCAGUCAAAUACAACAUACACUAAACAUUUAGUCUGCAAUCAAACAUGUACAUCUUAAUCAUCAUCCAUACAGUCCAACACAACUCAAAAACUUUAGGUAAGUCCAGUAGAAAAUCCCUUACCUCACUUUUAUGCAAGUUCUUCAAUCUACUAAAUCCAAUGAAUCAAAUCCUAAACAUAAUCAAUCAUAAAAUCAACAUCUUUCUAAAUAGUUUCAACCAUUCAAAUUACCCCAUAUGUAAAUUCCACAACUUACCCAAGAAGUGGAAAAUCAAGUCCACUUCAACCUUUUGGAAAAUCAAGGAUUCGCUCACUGAAUCAAGAUGUACCUUCAAGAAUUAAGCAUUUCGCCAACAAUUAAAUCCAAUGGCAGCAUCCAACAAAAACCAAGAAACCAACAAAAACCAUAACUUGUUCUUACCCAAAUAUGAGCCCAAUGGUUCACGGCGAGGCAGAUCUGGACGACGAUUUGCUUUGCGAGGGAGGCACGACGGUUGUGAGCGAGAGGCACGACGGUUACAGGCGGAUGGGCGCGACGGUUUAGAUCUGAAGAAGAAAAGAGAGGGUGGCGGUUGGGUUCGGCGAGCGGCGGCGGUUUUGCUUCGCGAACGGAGAUGGAGACGGCAAUUCGGCGCGCGGGACGACUGCAACGCAAAUCUGGACUGGCAGCGGCACGGUCUUGCUUCGCGGCUGGGUAUGGUGAAAAAGAAAGAGAAACGGAAGAAGAGAAGUCUCGGGUGGCGGUUGCUGGGCUACGGCGGUUGCUGGGCUGCGGCGGAAGGAGAAAAUGGAAGGAAGAGAUCGGCGGAAAGAAGGAGAAGAUGGAUGGGAGUCACGAUCGCACGGGAAGAAGAAGGGAGAAAAGAAAAGAAAAGAAAAGAAGAAAAGAAAAAUAAUAAAGAAAUUUUUAAUAUAAAGUAAAAUAAAAAUAUAUAUAUAUAUAUAUAUAUAUAUAUUACCUUUUUGGGCAUUACAUUCUUCCCUCCUUAAGAAACUUUCGUCCUCGAAAGUUCUAAUCCUGAAAUAACUCUGGAUAACGAGUCCUCAUUUCUUCCUCUCGCUCCCAUGUCGCCUCUUCAAUUCGAUGAUUCCGCCACAAAACCUUUACUAAUGGAAUGCUUCUAUUACGAAGCAUCUUUACCUCUCUAGCCAAAAUCUCCACAGGUUGUUCAACAUAGCUCAAAUGCUCGUCAAUCUCCAAGGUUCAUAGUCCACUACAUGAGAUGUAUCGGCCACAUACUUCCUCAACAUCGAAACAUGGAAAACAUUAUGAACUGCAGAGAGAGAUGGUGGUAAUGCCAAGCGAUACGCCACAACACCAACCCUCUCUAAGAUCUCAAAUGGUCCAACAAAACGAGGACUUAACUUUCCCUUCUCAAAACGCAUAACACCCUUCAUAGGUGCUACCUUCAAGAAUACCUUUUCUCCCACAUCGAACUUAAGGUCUUUUCGCCGUACAUCUGCAUAACUCUUCUGUCUACUCUGCGCUGUUUGCAUACGCGUCCUAAUCGUUUGAAUAGCCUCAUUAGUAGACCGAACUAAUUCAGGUCCCAUCAAUCUAUGUUCACCAACCUCACUCCAACAAACAGGGGUUCUACAACAUUUGCCAUACAAAGCCUCAAAUGGUGCCAUACCGAUGGUAGCCUGGAAACUGUUGUUAUAAGCAAACUCCAUCAAAUGUAGAUGAGAGUCCCAACUACCUGGAAACUCUAUAACACAAGCUCGUAGCAUAUCCUCUAAAACUUGGUUCAAACGUUCAGUUUGACCAUCAGUCUGUGGAUGAAAGGCUGUACUGAAAUCCAAUCUCGUACCCAUAGCAGUCUGAAGUCCCUUCCAAAACUUGGAAGUAAACCGUGCAUCCCUAUCAGAAACAAUCGAUACAGGCACUCCAUGCAGUCUCACAAUCUCAGUUAAAUACAACUCUGCCCACUUACUAGCAGUAUAAGUGGAUUUUCCUGGUACAAAAUGUGCCGAUUUCGUAAGCCUGUCUAUGACAACCAGAAUCACUGUGAAACCCUUCAGGGUCUUAGGCAGCCCUGAAAUAAAAUCCAUCGACACAUUCUCCCACUUCCACUCUGGCACACUUAAGGUUGUAAUAAACCUGCUGGUUUCUGUCUAGGUGCCUUAACUUGCUGACAUACUAGACACUUACUAACAAAUUCCGCCACUUCCCUUUUCAUAUUCCGCCACCAAUAAAAUCGUUUUAGAUCCUGAUACAUUUUCGUGCUACCAGGAUGCAUGGAAAAUGGGGAAUUAUGGGCUUCAUCUAGUAAGUCAAUCUUAACUGUACUGUUCGCUGGCACACAUAAACGUCUCUCAAACAUCAACCCACCAUCAGAGGAUAUGGAGAACUCAUCAGUCUGCCCUGUUUCAACAAGGCGACGUCUCUCCAUCAAAUAAGGAUCAUUACUCUGAGCAUCAACAAUCUUGUGCCUCAGAGUCGGUUGCACCGUUAAUUGAGCUAGCUGUGAGGUGACUCUCCCCACAGACACUGCAAUCUCAGCUCUCUCCAAGUCUCGAUGCAAUGGUACCUGUCUAGUAAUGAGUGCUGCCGAAUGUGAUACUUUUCUACUAAGAGCAUCAGCCACCACAUUCGCCUUACCAGGAUGGUAUAAUAUCUCACAGUCAUAAUCUUUUACCAACUCGAGCCACCUUCGCUGUCUCAUAUUCAACUCCUUCUGAGUGAAGAAGUACUUUAGGCUCUUAUGGUCAGUAAAGAUUUGUAUCUUUUCACCGUACAAGUAAUGUCUCCAUAUCUUCAAUGCAAAAACCACUGCUGCCAACUCCAAAUCAUGUGUGGGGUAGUUCUGCUCGUGACUCUUCAACUGACGAGAGGCAUAAGCAACCACCUUACCUUUCUGCAUCAAAACACAACCCAGUCCUUUCUUGGAAGCAUCACUGUAAAUCACAAAACUUCCAGAUCCAUCUGGUACAGUAAGGACCGGUGCAGUAACUAACCUUUGCUUUAAGUUCUGAAAACUAUCCUCACAAGCUGGACUCCAAACAAACGGAGUUCCCUUCCUUGUCAACUGAGUCAAAGGAGUAGCCAAACGUGAAAAAUCCUCCACAAACCUCCGGUAAUACCCUGCUAAACCCAGAAAACUACGAACCUCACUAACUGUGAGGGUCGAGACCAACUGGUAACCGCUUCUAUCUUUGCAGGGUCUACUGAAACUCCCUCACUGGAAACCACAUGACCAAGAAAAGCCACCUGCUUCAACCAAAAUUCGCACUUAGAACUUAGCAUACAGUUUAUUGACUCGAAGAGUCUCUAACACCUUAUGUAAGUGUUCCUCAUGUUCGGCUUCAGUCUUGGAAUAAACCAAAAUAUCAUCAAUGAAGACUAUCACAAAAGUGUCCAAGAAAUCCUUAAACACCCUGUUCAUCAAAUCCAUAAAUACAGCAGGUGCAUUAGUCAAACCAAAAGACAUUACUAUGAAUUCAUAAUGUCCAUACCUCGAACGAAAAGCAGUCUUAGGAAUAUCACGGUCUCUAAUCCUCAACUGGUGAUAACCUGACCGUAAGUCAAUCUUAGAGAACACCGUGGCUCCCUGUAACUGAUCGAACAAAUCAUCGAUUCUGGGUAAAGGAUACCUGUUCUUGACUGUUACUUUAUUCAACUCUCUAUAGUCAAUGCAAAGACGCAUCGACCCAUCCUUCUUCUUCACAAACAAUACUGGUGCACCCCAAGGUGACACACUAGGUCGAAUAAAGCCUUUGUCAAGCAAUUCCUGUAACUGUACCUUCAGUUCUUUCAACUCAGCAGGAGCCAUCCUAUAAGGGGCUCUAGAAAUAGGAGUAGUGUUUGGCUCCAACUCAAUGGCAAAAUCAAUCUCUAUGUGGCGCAGUCCUGGAAGAUCUUUUGGAAAUACAUCUGGGUAUUCUCUUACCACAGGUUCUGAAGUUAAAGAAGUCUCACCUUCCCUAGUAUCCACCACACUUGCCAAAAUACUCCAAGUACCCUGGCUGAGUAGUUUACUAGCUUUCAUAGCUGAGAUUACUUUAGGCAGUACUACUGUUCCUACUCCCUUGAAUUUAAAGCUAGAUGCAGUAGGGGGACUAAACACAACUUCCUUACGAGAACAAUCAAUACUAGCAUGAUUAGUAGCUAGCCAAUCCAUACCUAAAAUUACAUCAAAGUCACGCAUAUCUAAUACCAACAAGGUUACGUCCAGCACACGACCAGCUAUCUCAAUUUCACAUGCUUUAAUCUUUUCCUUAGACAACAUAAUUUCUCCAGACGGUGUAGACACUGACAAAACAUAGUCUAAGGGUUCCACCUCUAAGCAUGCAUGCGUCACAAAAAGCGAUGAAAUAAAUGAAUGAGAAGAUCCCGAGUCAAACAAGGUCAAGGCAAAAUGCCCUAAUACUGGUAAUGUACCUGUCACUACUGUGCCGGCCUUCUCUGCCUCUGAUCUAUUAGUGGCAAAGAUUGUACCCCGCUGUGGAGGUCUCUCUCCCUGACUGCUCGAUCCAGCCCCAGUAGAUCUCAAGGGACACCUAUCAGCCAUGUGUCCCUCUUGCUUGCACUUAUAACAGACUCUCGUUCCCAUCAAACAACGACCCAGGUGGCGUUUCCCACACGUAUUACAUACUGGCCUCUCUUGAGUAGUGUCUCCUGCACCGCCAGAACUCUGCUGGAAACUGCGAAAAGAAUCACCUGGUCUCAUGUUCCUCUGAGGAACUCCUACAGUUCUCUGCUCUACUUUUCUCUUUUGACCGACGACGAUCCCUUAUUAAAGCUCCUUGGCUGUCUUUCAUCCUUCCCAAUACUCAUAUCCACUGCCAGACGCAGUGCUUCAGCUUGGGUAGUGGGCUUUAGUGCUCGCACAAAACCCCUAAUUUCAUCUCUCAAUCCCUUGACGAACCUAUCAGCUCUAGCCUGCUCAUUACUAACAAGCUCAGGGGCAAAACGUGACAGCAUAUCAAACUCCUGGUCGUACUCCUCGACUGUCAUAUAUCCUUGCUUCAACUCCAAGAAUUCCUGGCUUUUGGCGUCUCUAAGGUUAGCCGAGAAAAACUUGGUAUAGAAGCAGUUCUUAAACUGAUCCCAGGUAAUUUGCCUCACAUCUCCACCUAGCAUGCGCAUUGUAGUCCUCCACCAGAUAAUGCCUCUGUCCCUCAGUAGAAAAGCAGCACACUGAACUCUGUGCUCCUCGGACAUCUCAUGUAAUUAAAUAUGGUUUCCACAGAGGACAACCACAUUUCAGCUUUAGUAGGAUCCUCCAGUGACCCAUCAAACGUCUGAGGGUCAUACUUCCGAAAGUCCCUCAAAUGUUUCGCCUCAGCAGAAAGUUGGUUAGGUAAUUCUUGUGCAGGAGGGGCUGCUGGUGCAGGGGAACUACAGGUGCAGGUGGAACCAGGUGCCUGCUGGUUUUGAGCUAUAGCUGUCAUAAGUUCUGUAAACCUCUGCUCCAUGUGAGCAGACAGUGCAUCAAACUCAACGUGAGUCACGGGUGCAGCAGGAAUUCGCUGUUCAGCUUGACCCUCAGUAGGCUGAUUACGACCUGCUCCUCUACCUCGGCCUCCUGCUCUCUACGACCUCCUCUACGUACUUCUUCCCUUGGCGGCAUAAUUCCUAUUACCACCAACAACACUCUUUAACAAAAUCUUAAUCAUAAACAUAAGCAAGUCUUUAUCGUCAUGCAAUCUAGUUUAAUUUAGGCAAGGUCAUGCAAAUAAACCAUACAUAUAAGCAUCAAGCAUACCUGACGAGAGACGAAGGGUCGCGUUAGCCAUAGGAACACAAAAACAUAGACUUACAUCGUAAGUCAGUCUACAGAACCUAAAACUUAGGCUCUGAUACCAACUGUAACGACCCAACUUUUCUAGGUAAGUCGAGGUCAUUAAUUUUUAAUAAAAGACUUUAUUGAUACAAAAUGAAACGUAAGUCAAUUUAAAACAAUCUAUGUCAGGCCUGAUUUUCAAAUAUUCAAGAAAACUUAAAAAUAACACUAUUUACAAAUAAAAGUUUGUAAACUAAGUUUUAGUACAUCUUAAACCUUAAAAGAAACCAUAAGCGGAAGCAAAAUGACACAGUUCCUAUGGAAUCACGCUUCCUUCCUCCCCCUCGCCGGUUUGCCACCUUUAUUUCCUUUGCCUGAAAAUUAAACAUAAGAAGGGUGAGUAUAACAAUACUCAGUAAGAGACCCUUACUGUCUCCGUCAGGGAAAAAUAAUUGUUAAAGUUCUAUUGGGACACCCUGUACAGUCGCAGUCUUGUGAUCGCGUAGGAUACACAUUUCAGUCUAACGCCCCGAAGGACGUACAUAUCAGUCUAACGCCCCGAGGGACGUACAUAUCAGUCUAACGCCCCGAGGACGUACAUAUCAGUCUAACGCCCGAGGGACGUUCAUAUCAGUCUAGUGUUCUGCAGAAACACAUAUCAGUCAAAUGCUCCCGAAGGUGCAAAAUAAAUUGGUGAUCCUGGGACACCUACAAGGUAAACAUCCCAAUACACAACCUAACAAUUUAUCCCUCAUUCCAUUCAACCCAUCUUUCAGUUACUUCAAAUCACAAAGUCCUUUCUUCAACAUCCUAACAGUCAACUUAUUUUACUACAAUCAUAUGUCUGUCAAUAAUAUGCUAAUACAUCAGUCAAUUCACUAUACAGUCAAGUCAAUACACCCCUCAGUUCACCAGCACAAACCACAGUUCAGUAUAAUCCACAUCCACACCGAACAAAUUCACUAGUUCACAUCCAAUCUUUAUACAGCACAAUCUAUUAAUAUCAUCAUGUACACUAAGCAUAAUUUCAGUCAUUCACAUGUAUACUUUCGCAAUCCACAUCAAUUCACACAUCAAUGUAUAUAUAUAUGUUUCCAGUCAAAUACAACAUACACUAAACAUUUAGUCUGCAAUCAAACAUGUACAUCUUAAUCAUCAUCCAUACAGUCCAACACAACUCAAAAACUUUAGGUGAGUCCAGUAGAAAAUCCCUUACCUCACUUUUAUGCAGUUCUUCAAUCUACUAAAUCCAAUGAAUCAAAUCCUAACAUAAUCAAUCAUAAAAUCAACAUCUUCUAAAUAGUUUCAACCAUUCAAAUUACCCCAUAUGUAAAUUCACAACUUACCCAAGAAGUGAGAGAAUCAAGUCCACUUCAACCUUUUGGAAAAUCAAGGAUUCGCUCACUGAAUCAAGAUGUACCUUCAAGAAUUAAGCAUUUCGCCAACAAUUAAAUCCAAUGGCAGCAUCCAACAAAAACCAAGAAACCAACAAAAACCAUAACUUGUUCUUACCCAAAUAUGAGCCCAAUGGUUCACGACGAGGCAGAUCUGGACGACGAUUUGCUUUCCGAGGAGGCACGACGGUUGUGAGCGAAGAGGCACGGCAGUUACAGGCAGAUGGCGCGCGACGGUUUAGAUCUGAAGAAGAAAGAGAGGGUGGCAGUUGGGUUCGGCGAGCGGCGGCGGUUUUGCUUCGCGAACGGAGAUGGAGACGGCAGUUCGGCGCGCGGGACGAUGCAACGCAAAUCUGGACUGGCAGCGGCACGGUCUUGCUUCGCGGCUGGGUAUGGUGAAAAAGAAAGAGAAACGGAAGAAGAGAAGUCUCGGUGCGGUUGCUGGGCUACGGGCGGUUGCUGGGCUGCGGCGGAAGGAGAAAAUGGAAGGAAGAGAUCGGCGGAAAGAAGGAGAAGAUGGAUGGAGUCAGAUCGCACGGGGAAGAAGAAGGGAGAAAGAAAAGAAAAAGAAAAAGAAGAAAAAAAAAUAAUAAAGAAAUUUUAAUACUAAAGUAAAAUAAAAAUAUAUAUAUAUAAUAUAUAAUAUAUAUAUAUAUAUUUACCUUUCUUUGGGCAUUACAUUUUUUUUUUAAUUUUAGCAAAUAACAUUUUUUGCACGUGCAUAAUAUUUAUAAAAUACCAAAAUAUCCACAUUCUCCAACUAAAAUUAUUUUGUUUCUAUGUUGUAAUUAAUUUAUAUUAUGCAUUUAUCAACUUUUAAUUAUUUUUUACCUGAAAAAAGAUACAUAAACUCAUAUAUAUACUUUUUUCUUAAUAUCUCGGGACUCAACUAAUGGAUUCAAGACUUUAACUUUAUUUAAUCUUACUAAUUUCAAAAUAACCUAAUUGAAUUUGAAUUUCAAAAUAACCAAAUUGAAUUUCAACAUAACAAAAUUAUUAUUUUUCAAAUUUGAUAAUCUCAGAAAUAGAUUUUGUAUCAAAAUAACUUUAAUUGAAUUUCAAAAUUAAAAAAUAUCAACUUAUUCACUCUUUAUCUCACAAUAAUAUUAAUGGCUUGAAUAUCAAGAUAAUUAAAUUAUUGUUUUUAAAAUUGGGAGAAACUCAACAUUAAAAAAUAUCAACUUAUUCACACACAAUCACACGCGCACACACAUACAUACACUUGCACGCACGUGCACCCAUACACGCACACACACACGCGUGCACACACACACACACACACAAACGCACACAUGCACACGCACACCAAACCGCACGCACACAAAUACACACACACACGCACACUAAUGGUUCAAUUUCAUCGAUUGUUCCUAUUUUUCUGACAGUUUAUUUUUGCCAUCGAUAGAGGAUCUUCCGACAGACCUGCGUGACGGUGUGUGUUGACAGCUUAAUUUCGUUGGCAAAAGAAAAGUCGAUUAGUUUUUGAAGAUUUACUGACGAUAUUUGUCAUCGACAAAGGGUAAAUUUCUUGUAGUGCAUGUACAUCAAACAUAUCAAAUUUGUUAAGUGUACCAAUGAAGUAUAAGAAGUUUAUUAGUGGUGUAUCAAGCGUAUCAAACUUAUAAGUGAAGUCUUUAAGUGUAUCAAACUAAUCAAGUGUAUCAAGGUCUCAGGGUAUCAAGUGUAUCAAGAAGAAUCAAGUGUAACGAGAAGUAUUAUGUGGAACGAGAAGUAUUAUGUGUAUGAAGAUGUUUCAGGUGUGUAUCAAAAAGUAUCGAGUGUAUCAAUGAGUACCGAGUGCAUGAAUUGUAUCUAUCAAAUGUAUCAAGUGUAUCAGUAAGAAAUAUCAAGUGUAUCAAGCGGUAUUAGGUGUAUCAGACGUGUAUAAGGUGUAUCAAAUGUACAUCAAUAACGAGGGCAUUUGUGACAUUUUACCUCUUGAUGUGUGAGUUGGUCUUUGUUUUUGUCAUUUUCUCAAAUAAUAAAGUAUGUGUUCUAUGAACUUAAUUAUUAUAACUUACACUACUACAAAAACAGGCUCUCUUGACGUUUGCAGUUUUCCUUUCUUGACGUUUUUUUCAAAAAACGUCAAGAAAGAUUUCAUUUUUAAUAAAAAACGUCAAGAAAUUUUUUGAAACAUCAUUCUUGACGUUUAUUAAAUGUCAAGUAAAAUAAAUUUUUCUUUGACGUUUUUAAAACAUCAAGAAAUAUCUAUUAAUUUUUUGACGUUUUAAAACGUCAAGAAGCGUAUGAAUUCGACAUGCUUGACGUUUCUUAAACGUCAAGAAUUUAAAAUUUUACUCGACGUUUUAAAAACGUCAAGAAAUUCAUAAAAUAUUCAAGAAUAUUUUUUAAAUUACACUGAGAAGGUAUCGAAUUUUAAUUUUCAGCUCUAACAUUUUUCCUAAUCUACUUUUUUCUUCUUCACGACUGAGUAUUCGAGGGAGUCAUUUUUUGAAUUUGUUGACAUUUUUUAAACGUUAAGUAAGAUCAUUUUUUUUUUUACAUUUUAAAAAUGUCAAGUGUUAUUAAAUAAAUAUAAAAAAUAUAUUGGGCUAAUUUUAUUUCUUUAAAAUCUCUUUAAAUAUAUAGAUACAAUAAUAAAAAUCUCUUUAAAUAUAUAGAUACAACAAUAAAAAUUUCUUUAAAUAUAUAUAGAAAAAAAAUAUUGUACUAAUAUUAUUCAGAAUCACUUUAAAUAUAUAUAGAAAAAAUUAUUGUGCAAAUAUUAUUUUUUAAAAAGCCCUAGCCCCUUUCUACUCAAAACACGCGUGUUCCCCUUUCCCUCUCCAGCCGAAAUCCUUCCCAUUCGAAAAAAGUGUGUUCAGCAGUCGUCGUUCGCUUUCAACGCCUAUCCGUUCGCCUUCAACGUCUGUCCGUUCGAUUUCACCGUCGAGUUCCACCUCUUCGAAUCCCUCACGUCCGUCGUUUCAAAGUCCUUCGUCCGCUGCAUUCCAUCUUUCCAAAAUCCCUCAGUGCCUCACGCUACUGCGUGCCCGUCAUUUCGACUUCACCAACGAGUGCCUCACGUUCGUUGCUUCAAAAUCCAUCAUCCACUAAGUUGAGGUUAGGCUUUUAUUUCCCUAAAACAUAUAACAAUUUCAUUAUUCUUCAUUAUAUAAACUCAGAUGGCAUGAUUGGCAAUAAUAGAUAGGAAGGAUGGAGGUGUAAACUUCGAAUUGAUUGAAAUUCGUAUACUUUUAUUCAAUCUUUAAAGUACUGUAGUUUUUCUUCACCAUCAAAUUUUAUUAGGAUUUAAAGAAAACAAAUGAAUGUAUGAACAAAUUUUUGGGAGUGCAUGUCAUAUAAUCAACUUCCCUCUUUCAGUAAUUUUGAAGAUCUCAUAUAACAAUACUACUAAUUGAGAGCUUUGGAGGAUGAGUCAAUUCUUCUCCCUUCGUGAAAAGAAAAAGAAAAAAAGAUCAUGUAUUCUCUUUGUUUGUUACCUUAUGUUGUCCAAGGUUUUGCCUUCUUCCUUAAUAAUUUGGAGGUGUUUUAACUAAUUUUUUCAUUCACCCUCUUUUUGCCAUAGUUGCUUUUGUGUGCAGCUUGAGAUUUUUAAUUCAAUUGUGUGUUUUUACUUUUUUCUAUUGGGUGAAUUCUGUUUUGACUUUUUUUAAGCUAAAUAUAAUUAAUUGUUUCCUAUGGAACCAUAACCUUGAUCUUGGUUAUAGAUUUCAUUUUAAGGUAAAAGUAAAACACUCUUAUUUGAAUGAUUAUGUUGUAUUAUCCAUUGAAAGACUUGGUGUUGUAAUUGCCUUGUCUUCCUCAGGUAUUCUGUUGUAUGGUUGAUUACGAUCUUCAUGAUUGGAAUCUUUGUUUAGUGAAGCUCAUUUUGUUUGAUUUACUCAGUCGUGCAAUUGCUUUCUUUUUUAUGAUCACUUUAAAAAAGAAAUGAGUUUAGUUAGUUCUUUUAAUUUUCUUAAGUUUCAUUUGUAAUGCAUGAAAAUCUCUUAGCAGUAGAAACUGAAGACCAUAAUUGUAGAAGAUUUGUAUAGAUUGGAUUCACAUUCUCAACAUUGGUUAUACAGGCAUUACUUAUCAUUGUCCUUCCACUUUAAUUAUCAAUAGUGACAAUAACUUUAUUUCUCAUUAGAUUUACAAUGAUGGAUAAAUCUUGGAUGCACAAGAGUAGAUUGUCUAAAGAUUAUGAGUUGGGUGUGGAAAACUUCAUCAAAUUUGGAUUUUCUAAUACAACUAGCUCCUAUAUUCGUUGUCCUUGUUUGAAAUGUGGGAAUUGUGAAAAACAUAGUAGAAAGGGUGUUAGAGAUCACUUGUAUGUUAAUGGUAUUGAUGAAAGUUAUAAAUUUUGGUUUUGGCAUGGGGAAGAACUUCCUAACUCAUCCUUCUAUGAUGAAUCUUCAAAGUUUGACACCCAUACAUGUGAAGAUCAGGAUGUUGGAAGUGUAAAAGAAAUGAUUGAAGUUGCUCAUGAGGAGUAUUCAAAAGACCCAACUGGAUUUGAGAAGUUGCUUAUUGAUGCUGAAAAACCAUUGUACGAAGGAUGCAAAAAGUACACAAAGUUGUCUACUCUAGUCAAAUUGUAUAAUUUAAAAGUUAGGUAUGGAUAGAGUGAUACUAGUUUUUCAGAAUUACUUGAAACUUUGAAGGAAAUUCUGCCUAAUACCAAUGAGCUCCCGAAUUCAUUGUAUGAAGCAAAGAAAACAUUAGGUGCAUUAGGAAUGGAAUAUGAAAAGAUUCAUGCAUGCCCGAAUAAUUUUGUCUCUAUAGAAAAGAAUUUGCUAAUGCAAUUGAAUGUCAUGAAUGUUGUCAAUCAAGGUGGAAAAACGUCAAGGAUACAAAUGAAAGGAGAAAGCAAAUUCCCUCUAAAGUGAUAUGGUACUUUCCAAUCAUUCCACGAUUUAAAAGGCUAUUCAGAAGCAUUGAAUGUGCUGAAAACUUGACUUGGCAUUCUACUGAAAGAAUUAAUGAUGGUAAGUUACGACAUCCAGCCAGACUCUCCAGCAUGGAAGUUAGUAGACAUGAAAUGGCAAGACUUUGGUUCUGAACCCAUAAAUCUUCGUUUAGCAUUGUCAGCCGAUGGAGUAAAUCCUCAUGGUGACAUGAGUUCUAAAUACAGUUGUUGGCCGGUAGUGAUGGUUAUUUACAAUCUUCCACCAUGGUUGUGUAUGAAAAGAAAGUACAUGAUGCUAUCAAUGCUAAUUUCAGGACCAAAACAACCAGGGGAUGACAUAGGCAUAUACUUAGCACCACUAAUUGAAGAUUUAAAACUUUUAUGGGAAAGUGGUGUUGAAUGUUAUGAUGCUUAUCGAGAAGAACCAUUCAACUUAAGGUCAGUUUUGUUGUGGACAAUCAAUGAUUUUCCUGCAUAUGGUAACCUUAGUGGAUGUUGUGUGAAAGGGUAUAAAGCAUGCCCAAUUUGUGGAGAUAAUACAAAUUCUAUAAGGUUAAAGUAUGGGAAGAAAAUGGCAUACCUUGGACAUCGUAGAUUUUUGGCACGAAAUCAUCUGUAUCGACGACAAAAGAAGUCAUUCAAUGGUAAAAAAGAACUUGAUACAAUUCCAGAGCCACUUUAUGGGGAGGAUGUGUAUUUAAAAUUGAAAGAUCUUGAAUUUUCUAGAGGGAAGAAGAACCAUAAGAAACGGUUGAUGAACAGAAGUGACAAAAUUUGUUGGAAUAGAUUAUCUUCUUUUUUUGAGUUGCCAUACUGGAAGGAUCUUCAUGUUAGACAUUGUUUAGAUGUGAUGCACAUUGAAAAAAAUGUUUGCAUGAAUAUCUUAGGUACAUUUCUUGAUAUUCCUGGAAAAAGUAAGGAUGGAUUGAAUGCUAGACGCGAUUUAGUUGAUCUAAAACUUCGACCAGAGCUUGCCCCUAUCAGAAUAUGUUACUCCUACUAAUUACUUUCAUUAUGUAAAAAAGACAUCUAAACGUGAGGAUGAGAUUAUACUUGAGAAUAAAGAACUUCGAAGGCGUGUAAGCGAAUUAGAAGCACAUAACCACUCAAACUUGUCUAGACCAUUAUCUGGACAUGGUAGCUGUUCGAAGCCAAAUAUCUUAGAAGAGAGUGACUCGAUGAAAAUAAUCAAAGGGAAGAGUAAGUUGAUGGAUAAAAUCGAAGGGAAAGAGGUGGAGGAGAUCAAUGUAAAUGACGACAAAGUAGAGUUGGACAUCUUUAAGGUAUGUGAUCGAUCCUCUAAUAAACUCAAAUUCUUAAUAUUCAUAUCAUAUUGAAAGUGAAUGUUUUUCUUGAAUUAGGAGAGAGCCUUAAUAAAAAUGACUAAGGAAAAAGAGGUUGUCUGUGAAUCGACGUCAGUUUUGCCAAUGGGAAUGAAGUUGAUUCUCAUAUACGUUGAGAAGAUAAUGGAGAAAGAUUCUAGUAUCACUAUUCCACUACUGUUGGCAUUUUUGGUAUUAGUCGAAAGACUUCUGUUCUCCGAGAGGACAUCAUUGAUCUUUGUAACAUGAAUGAGGUCAAAACAUUUACAUUGGUGGCCUAUAUGACGUAAGUAUCAAUUUCAUUUCUUUAGAUCUAAAUUUAUGUAUCUCGUUUACAAGUUUAUAAUAUUUUGUAGGUACUUGUAUUCAUCUGUUCUUGGUUCGAAGGAAACUAUACAGUAUGUCUUUGUAGAUCCAUCCCUCACCUCUGUCGGACACUCGCAAGAAUCUCGAGUUCGACACUUAUGCAGUAGAUUGAUGGUCUCAAAGAUUAACGAAAUAGUUCUUGCUCCUUUUAAUCCUGGGUAAGUCAAGUUAUUUUAUUACUUGCAUUGCAAAAAACUAGUACUAAUAUUUUGUAUAAUUAGGGGUCAUUGGGCACUGCUGGCCAUAAAUGCAUAUGAUGAUAUAGUAUUUUACCUCGACUCACUAAGGACAACAUCGAAGUCAACUAUAAGAUACGUCACCGACACGUAAGUUAAUCUAGUAUUUCAUUUAGUGUUGAUUCUUAUAUGCAUGUACACAAUAUUUAAACUAUUUGUUCAAUCUUAUCUUGUCAAAACAGAGCAAUAGCGAUGUUUCAGUCACAAAAGAACAUUAAAAAAAGUAGAAAACAAACUUUAUGGCUAACAGUAAAGGUAAGUAUCAACUUUUAAAGUCAUUAAAUUUUUGUAGACUACUAGCAAUUAGGAUUACUUUGUUAUUCAAAUUUGUUGCUUUUAUAUAGUGUCCACUGCAAGGAAGUAUUGAGUGUGGAUACUAUGUGAUGAGGUAUAUGAGAGAAAUUGUGACUAGGGGAAGCAUUGUCAUAUCCGAUGCGGUAUGUUAUAUAUCAAACUAUUGGUUUUGUGAGUUAAUUGGUUUAUUUGUAUAGUCAGUUAAUUCAUUUAAUUUAUUUUGUAUGUUUAUUGAUUGAUACACGAAGAUCAUACUCACAGGCAGAACUACACGAGGUGCGAGUUGAGUUAGCUGACUUUUUGGGUUCUUACAUAUGAUUAUGACCAAUAUUUUGUGAUUCUGAAGUAGGAAAUUUUUUGUUGUGUCGCUUCUUUAUGACCCUAAACUUUAUGUAUAGAAACUUUAGCCGAUAAUUCUUUUGAAUUGUUCAUAUGGAGGAAGGGGGGAGGGGGGUUCAUUCGUAUAUAUUUUUAUUAUUGUUAUAGCUAGCAUGUUUUGUGACUUUUUAAGUUGAUUUGGAUUCAUGGCAAUGUAAUGCCAUAUGAAAUCUAAUGUAAAGCCUAUUUCAUUAUGUAUAUGUAAAGUCUUGGAAUUGAAUAUAUAUGGUGAAUGGUUUUAUUUAUAUAUGUUUGAGAUUUGAAACUAUAUUUGAUGAAUAUCAAAUAUCUAUGAAACUGUUGUGGACAAUUACAGGAUAAUUACAGGACAAUCAGAAUAUAUUUCUUUCCAUUACAGCAUAAUUCAAUUACAAUUUCUUUUUUUAAAAAAAAUUAAAAAAUGCUUGACGGUUUUAAAAUGUCACGAACAAUUGCAAGCUUGACGGUUUUAAACUGUCAUGAACAAUUGCAUUUUUACGGUUGACAAAUGUCAAAACAAUUACAUUCUUGACAGUUUUAAAAUGUCAUGAAUAGUAAAAUUCUUGACGGGUUUAAAAUGUCAUAAACCAGUUCAUCCUUGACGGCUUUAAAAUGUCAUAAACAAUACCAGUCCUGACGGUUCUAAAACGUCAUGAACAUAAGUAUAUUUGACGUUUAUAAAACGUCAACGUUCACUAUUCUUGACGUUUAAUCAACCGUCAAGAACUUUGCCUUUCUUGACGCUGGCUUCAACGACGUUUUUAAAACCGUCAAGAGAGCCGUCUCUUGAAGUUUAAAAACGUCAAGAGAGCCUGUUUUUGUAGUAGUGUUAUUUUGCCAUUUUCGCAAGUGUCCCUUAAUUGUAAUACAUGUAUAUGUGACAUAAUCUAAUCAAACUAACCAUAAAUGGACUUAAUGUAUCAGGUAUUAGGUGUAUCAGACGUGUAUAAGGUGUAUCAAAUGUACAUCAAUAACGAGGGCAUUUGUGACAUUUUACCUCUUGAUGUGUGAGCUGGUCUUUGUUUUUGUCACUUUCUCAAAUAAUAAAGUAUGUGUUCUAUGGACUUAAUUAUUAUAACUUAUUUUGCCAUUUUCGCAAGUGUCCCUUAAUUGUAAUACAUGUAUAUGUGACAUAAUCUAAUCAAACUAACUCAUAAAUGGACUUAAUCGAUCUCAUGGACCACGAAUUCUUCAAUUACUUGCAAAUUUGGUGAGUUCCUUCAAACAGUGGGCGAAGAGCUUAAUUUUGAGAGAGAGGAAAAGUCGUGAAGAGUAUAUGCGAGAGAGGGGGAACGUGCCAGAGAGCAUUUGCGAGAGAGCUAAAGACAGCGACGAUGUGGGAUGAAGUAAGGUUUUUUUCGGUCGUUGUUCACAGUGGGAUGAAAGCUUCGAAUUAUUUGUUUUAAAUCAAAAGGCGUAAUGAUUGAAGGAAAACAUUUAUUUUUUAUUAGGGUAAUUUUUAAUGACACAUAAUUUAUGUCAUUAAUUAACAAUGCGAAAAUUUUGUCAAGAAAACUCAAUUUGUGUCACGAAAAAUUUUGUAUUUUUAUUUUUAACGACACAUUUUAUUCCCUCAUGUCCCUUUUUCUUGAUUUCAAGUGUCAUUAAAACUUAUUGUUGAAUAAGAAAUUUUGAGACCAAUCACAAGUUGCCACAUCAUUUAUUAAGUUAAUGAUGAAAAGUACAAAUAAUUAAAUUUGGGACUAAUUAAAAUUGACAUAUGCUCCAAAUUAAAGAGUUGAAAAUAAAUAAAAUGGUCAUUCUAAUAAUGCCACAUGUUUUCAUAUUAAUAGUUGGAUUAAGUUAAUCAUUUUAGUUCAAUUAAAUAUUAUUUACUUGGACUAAGUUCAAUUAAGCCCAAAAAAUAAGCUUAAUUGAGCCCAAAGACUAAAUAUAACCUAAGUCCAUAUGGUUGAGCCCAUGCGUCUGGUCCAUGGACCAACUAGGUUCAAACCCAUAAAGCCCACCAGUGAACUCUAUAAAUAGAGGAAUUCUCCUCAUUUGUAGGGGUUGGAAAAUAUUGACUCUAGAAGAUCCAGAGAGAAUUCUUCAAAGAGCUAGAAGACUCCCUAACUCCUGAAGUUGACCAUCCUCGAAGAUUGAAGCUUCUUUAAAGAUACAAGCUUUCUUCCAAGGCUUCAACUUCAAGAACAUCACGUGCUUCGCUUCCUCCAAAUCAAGCUGAAGCAUCCAGUUGAGAGAGAAUCAGAGGAUCAAAUUCUAGAGAUUGAACCGCAUCGCAUCAAAUCAACAAAAAUACAACAUCAACUCAAGUUCAAGUCCACGAAUUAAAUUUCUCCAGAAAUCUCGUGCGAACAAAUUGGCACGCCCAGUGGGACCAUCUCUACCUCUCAUCUCUCUCUCAUCAUCUAGAUCUACAAGCAAAUCAAUGGCAUCAAAGAAAGUUGCAUCCAAAUCUUCAGCUGCAAGCGACACCUACACGGGACCUAUCACCUGUAGUCGUUCCAAGGGGAUCAUCCAAGGGCAAGACCAAGGUUCCGCCAUCGCGCAGAGCAUCCUGAAGCAAUUAAUGGAAUCUCCUAAAGCUGGAAUUGUCAUCAAGGAAAAUCCUCUAUAUAAUGAUUAUGAUUCUGCCUCUAGCAGGUCACUGAAAGAAGCACACCCAGAUGUGAUGUCCGUCAUGAUGGCUGAUGUAGCAGUCGAGACUGCCAUGGCGGAGAUGGAGAGAAAAUUAAUCUCCUGAUGAAGGUUGUUGAUGAACGAGACCACGAAAUUACAGCUUUAAAGGAGCAGAUGCAGACUCGUGAAACUCUGAAUCGAGUCAAACUUGUCGUUAAAGUUGAUGACAAAGGGAAGAACGUGGUACAAGAAAAUCAGCCACAACAACAAUCAACUUCUGUGGCUUCUCUCUCGGUUCAACAAUACAAGAUAUGAUCACAAACUCCAUCAGAGCACAAUAUGGAGGCCCAUCUCAGACUUCUUUCAUGUACUCUAAACCAUACACCAAAAGAAUCGACAACUUGAGAAUGCCGCUUGGAUAUCAGCCUCCAAAAUUCCAGCAGUUUGACGGAAAGGCAAUCCAAAACAGCACGUUGCUCACUUCGUCGAAACAUGUGAGAAUGCAGGAUCAAGAGGAGAUCAACUAGUCAGACAAUUUGUUCGAAGCUUGAAAGGAAAUGCUUUUGAAUGGUAUACUGAUCUGGAGCCAGAAAGCAUUGAGAGUUGGGAACAACUAGAAAAGGAGUUUCUCAAUCGCUUCUACAGCACCAGGCGUACUGUAAGCAUGAUGGAGCUUACAAAUACGAAACAAAGAAAGGGAGAACCAGUCAUCGACUACAUCAAUAGAUGGAGAGCUCUAAGUCUUGACUGUAAAGAUCGGCUCACCGAACUGUCGGCUGUAGAAAUGUGCACCCAAGGCAUGCACUGGGGACUCCUCUACAUUUUGCAGGGAAUAAAGCCCCGCACAUUUGAAGAACUGGCAACUCGAGCUCAUGAUAUGGAGUUGAGCAUCGCCAGUAGAGGAACUAAAGAUUUUCUUGUUCCUGAAGUAAAGAAAGAUAAGAAAGAGAUGAAAGGUGCUGAAAAGAUAGUGAAAAGCACCGCGAAAGAAUCUAUGGUCGUAAACACAACCCCGCUGAAAUUCUCCAAAGGAAAGGAAGCGAGGGUUGAAAAGAAGGAUGAUGGAAGCGAAAGGCGACGUCUGACUUUAAAAGAAAGGCAGGAAAAAGUUUACCCAUUUCCUGAUUCAGAUAUCGCUGACAUGCUAGAGCAACUACUAGAGAAGCAGCUGAUCCAGCUGCCAGAAUGUAAACGACCUGAGCAAGCAGGAAAGGUAGAUGAUCCCAAUUACUGCAAGUAUCAUCGGGUCAUCAGUCAUCCAGUAGAGAAAUGCUUCGUGCUGAAGGAGCUAAUUCUAAGGUUGGCUCGUGAGAAAAGGAUUGAGCUAGAUUUGGAGGAAGUAGCUCAAACAAACCACGCUGAAGUGACGAUAAUGUCUGAGGCUUCUUCGUCGAGAUUGAUUUUUGAGCAAAGGAAAAGCUUGGUCCAGUUCGGGACCUUUGAGCCUAUAGUUGUCCAAUUCUUUCAGGAAAUCUCAUACGAGGAUCCUCAAGGAGAGAAAAGACCAAUCGAAGAAGACGAUGAAGGGUGGAUAGUGGUGACCCACCGAAAGAAAAGACAGUCGAUCCCGACCCAAAGAGAGUCUCGCUCUUACCAAAACUAUAGAAGAGGAAAUAAGACUCAAAAGAAUAAGAAAAAGAAGAAGACUCAUAAGCUUAAGCUCGUACAUAAUGAAGACAUGAAUUUCUCUCGACCUCAACGCUUAGUGACCUUGCAGACUUCCUUCCAAAAAGCUUCCUUUGUGAUCAUCAGGAUGAAGACCCAGAAGUCGUUGCGUGUCAUGCUAUCAACACAACGGAGGAAGAAAUAAUCCCUCCAAGAUCACUAGAAGGAGAGGGAGUAUCAAAAGACCUUUCAAGGUUUAAUGUAGAGGAUCUAUUAUCACUUCCUCAAGAGACCAAAACCAUCCUUAUUGAUGCAUUGCUAAAUUCAAGAGCAUCAAGUUCGAGUACUCCGACUAUGACAUAUGAGAGUGGUUCUUAUUGUAUGUCUAUAGACUUCUCAGAUGAGGAUUUGUUGUUGGGAUCUAAACUUCAUAAUAGACCUUUGUAUGUUUCUGGAUACGUUCGAGAACAGAGAGUCGAUCGAAUCCUCAUUGAUAAUGGCUCAGCUGUCAACAUAAUGCCAAAGUCGACUAUGUGGCAAUUAGGCAUCUUGAUGGACGAGCUCUCAAAUAGCAAGCUAGUAAUUCAAGGUUUUAACCAAGGUAGCCAAAGAGCAAUAGGCAUGAUACGGUUAGAACUCAUAAUUGGCGACCUAAAGGCCAGUGCAUUGUUUCAUGUCAUAGACUCAAGGACUACUUACAAGUUGUUACUAGGGCGUCCUUGGAUUCAUGGAAACGGAGUAGUAACUUCAACACUGCAUCAGUGCUUCAAAUUUUAUCAGGACGGUGUAAAGAAGGUUGAAGCCGACUCUAAUCCAUUCUCAGAAGCUGAGUCUCACUUCGCAGAUGCAAAGUUUUAUUCAAAGAAUAAUAAUAUUUUAGAAGUUUUGCCUGCAGAAACCCCUCUUACAAAAGGAGAAGAUAAUUCACAACUGAAAUCACUCGCAACCACAGAACCACAUGAAAGUGCGAGAACCUUUAACUCUGGAAAGGGUGAAGCAUACACUAGCAGCACAAAGGGUAUGAUCUUGAAGGAUGAAAAUGCUGCAAACACACCAGUUUUGCGUUAUGUCCCUCUGUCAAGGCGCAAGAAAGGCGAAUCACCAUUCAUGGAGUCUCCAAAAGGUUUGAAAGUUGGUGACAUCGAAAUCAUAAAAGAAAGCUUCACUACACCACUAACUAAGAUAGCGAAGCAGGAGGUAAAGGUAGAUCUGGUGGAAGCAAACUUGCCCCAAAGGCGAACGAAAGACGGAUUCGACCCCAAGGCUUACAAAUUGAUGGCGAAAGCAGGUUAUGACUUCACAGCUCACACCGAGUUUAAAAGCUUGGAAAUUCAUGACCGACCUGAGCUCUCCUCAACUCAAAAGAAGCUUCUACGGAAGGACAUUCUAUACCCGUGUCGAGAAAAGGACUCGGAUACAAGUCGCCAGAACCGAUCCGUAUAACUAAAAAGGGAAGGAAAAAGUGGUUGACAUCAAUCAUAUAACUAUAGAGGAUGACAAUACUGACGUAAAAGAAGGUGAUAAUCAGAGAAUCUCAGUAUUUGAUCGAAUUAGACCAUCUGUUGCACGUCCCGUAGUAUUUGAAAGGCUAAGCAUGACAGAGGCAGAAAGAGAAAGGCUCCAGUCAGUACCAAACCUUGAGAGACAUUCGGUCUUUCGAAGGCUAACUACGACUCCCAUAAAGGAAGAAAGCACAUGCCAUGCCUUGACAACUACAAGACCAUCAGCCUUUGAAAGGCUAGGUGUGUCUAAAAAAAAAAUGUACAAGCACCCCGUGCUCCGAUUUUUAAUCAUCUCGGGGAUAAAGGAUCACACGACAACAUUGAUUCCAACAUAGCAAAGAAGAAGGAACCAAUGUCUCGUGUGAAAGUUUGGCGUCGAAUUAAGCAUACAGAUGUCGAUAAUUAUCGUAGUAAGAAGUUUCCUUGCGAGACAAAGGAAAAUGGAGAAAUUCAUAGCAACGUUCCUUCUCGCAUGAAAAGAAAAACUUUUGUUACUCUCAAUACAAGUCAAGGUUCGUUAAAGGUAAAAAGACAUGAUGUUAUACUAACGAAUCCUGAAAAAGAAGGGUCGGAACAAGGGGAAGGUGAAACUUCAUGUCAUCACAUCACCAUUAUUGAGGAAUCAGAGACUGGAACUCAUGAAGAAGACGCAGAAAAUGCCCCACAAAGUUUAGAGGAUGGUGGUCAAUCUACUGUAGACGAGCUAAAAGAGGUGAACCUUGGUACAAUAGAGGAACCACGUCCGACUUUCAUUAGUGCGUCCCUCUCUAACGAAGAGGUGGAUAAAUAUAUGAGUUUGCUCACCGAAUACAGGGACAUCUUUGCGUGGUCGUACAAGGAGAUGCCAGGACUUGACCCAAAAGUAGCAGUCCAUCAUCUUGCAAUUAAACCGGAUAUCGACCGAUUAAACAAGCACAACGACGUUUUCGACCGGAGCUUAUCCCUCAAAUCGAGGUGGAAGUCAACAAGUUGAUCGAAGCAGGAUUCAUUCGCGAGGUCAAAUAUCCAACGUGGAUAGCAAACAUUGUCCCUGUUAGAAAAAAAAAUGGACAACUUCGCGUUUGUGUAGACUUUCGCGAUCUGAAUAAUGCAUGCCCUAAAGAUGAUUUUCCCUUGCCCAUCACCGAAAUCAUGGUUGAUGCAACUACUGGACACGAGGCGUUGUCGUUUAUGGAUGGGUCGUCUGGAUAUAAUCAAAUACGGAUGGCCCUCUCAGAUGAAGAAAUGACAGCUUUCAGAACUCCAAAGGGAAUAUACUGUUACAAGGUGAUGCCCUUUGGAUUGAAAAAUGCCGCGCUACUUAUCAACGUGCCAUGCAGAAAGUGUUUGAUGAUAUGUUGCACAGGUAUGUUGAAUGUUAUGUUGAUGAUCUUGUAGUCAAAACAAAGAGACGACAAGACCAUUUGAAGGAUCUAAAAGUCGUGUUUGAUCGCUUGCGAAAAUAUCAGCUAAGGAUGAACCCUCUCAAGUGUGCGUUUGGUGUAACUUCAGGAAAAUUUCUUGGCUUCAUUGUAAGGCAUCGAGGGAUCGAAAAUAGACCAGUCCAAGAUUGAUGCCAUUCAGAAGAUGUCAAGACCUAAAAGUUUGCAUGACCUAAGAAGUCUCCAAGGACGACUGGCUUACAUCCGAAGGUUCAUCUCUAACUUGGCCGGUCGGUGUCAACCUUUUCAAAAGUUGAUGAGAAAAGGAGAAAAUUUUGUGUGGGAUGAAGCUUGUCAGAACGCUUUUGAUAGCAUAAAGAAAUACUUGCUUACUCCCCCAGUGCUGGGAGCUCCAGUACCUGACAAACCACUAAUAUUGUACAUUGCUGCACAAGAAAGGUCCUUAGGAGCAUUACUGGCACAAGAAGAGGUAAAGGGAAAGGAGCGUUCUCUCUACUAUCUAAGCAGAACAUUAAUUGGGGCUGAAGUUAACUAUUCUCCUAUCGAAAAGAUGUGUCUUGCACUUUUCUUUGCCAUUGAUAAGUUGAGGCAUUAUAUGCAGGCCUUCACGGUUCAUCUAGUGGCAAAAGCAGACCCUAUAAAGUAUGUUCUAUCCAGGCCAAUCAUCGCUGGACGCUUAGCCAAAUGGGCGGUUCUACUCCAACAAUAUGACAUUGUCUAUAUUCCCCAAAAGGCGAUAAAAGGACAAGCGCUAGCAGACUUUUUAGCAGACCACCCAAUUCCUUCGGAUUGGAAGUUAUGUGAUGACCUACCAGACGAUGAGGUUUUCUUCACAGAAGUUAUGGAACCUUGGACUAUGUACUUCGAUGGUGCAGCUCGAAGAAGUGGUGCGGGGGCAGGCAUUGUCCUCAUUUCUCCUGAGAAGCAUAUGUUGCCUUAUAGCUUUGCACUUUCCGAAUUGUGUUCAAACAAUGUGGCUGAAUAUCAGGCUUUGAUAAUUGGCCUUCAAAUAGCAUUAGAAAUCGGAGUGUCAUUCAUAGAGGUCUAUGGUGAUUCAAAAUUGAUAAUCAAUCAACUCUCGCUUCAAUAUGACGUGAAACAUGAAGACUUGAAGCCAUAUUUUGCUUAUGCUCGACAAUUGAUGGAAAAGUUUGAUAAUGUGAUGUUAGAACAUGUCCCUAGAGUAGAAAAUAAGAGAGCGGAUGCAUUGGCAAAUUUAGCCACGGCCUUGACCAUGCCAGAUGAUGUAACUCUGAACAUACCACUUUGUCAACGAUGGAUUAUACCCCCAGUUAGGCCUGAAUGUCAGGAAGUGAACAUGGCAACAUCCUAUUUGAUUGAUGAAGAAGAUUGGCGUCAACCCAUCAUAGAGUAUCUUGAACAUGGAAAGCUUCCAAAGGAUUCUCGUCAUAAAAUUGAGAUACGAAGAAGGGCAGCACACUUCAUUUAUUACAAGGGAACUUUAUAUCGCCGUUUUCUUGAAGGGCUCUUCCUUCGAUGUCUCGGAAAGGAAGAUUCGGUAAAAGCUCUAAAGGAAGUACAUGCAGGUGUUUGUGGAGCACAUCAAUCGGGACCAAAGCUUCAAUUCCAGCUAAGAAGAAUGGGCUACUACUGGCCUAAGAUGAUCCAAGAUUCAAUAGACUAUGUGAAGAAGUGUGAGCCUUGUCAAUACCAUGCAAACUUCAUACACCAACCUCCAGAACCUCUUCAUCCAACUGUGGCUUCUUGGCCUUUUGAGGCUUGGGGACUCGAUCUGGUUGGCCCCAUUACACCAAAAUCAUCAGCAGGACAUUCUUAUAUCCUAGCAGCAACAGACUAUUUUUCAAGGUGGGCUGAGGCCAUUUCAUUGAGAGAAGCCAAGAAGGAGAACGUGGCAGACUUUAUUCGAACACACAUCAUCUAUCGAUACGGUAUUCCACAUCGAAUCGUGACGGAUAAUGGAAAGCAAUUCUCCAAUAGUAUGAUGGACAAGUUAUGUGAAAAAUUCAAAUUCAAGCAAUAUAAGUCAUCCAUGUACAACGCAGCUGCGAAUGGACUAGCAGAAGCAUUCAACAAAACAUUGUGUAAUCUUUUAAAGAAAAUUGUCUCCAAGUCAAAGAGGGAUUGGCAAGAAAAGAUCGGCGAGGCAUUAUGGGCUUAUCGGACGACUCAUCGCACCCCUACAGGGGUUACACCAUAUUCGCUUAUUUACGGUGUGGAGGCUGUCCUUCCUCUCGAAAGGGAAAUUCCGUCACUAAGAAUGGCAGUACAAGAGGGAUUGACUACCGAAGAUAAUGUGAAGUUACGUCUUCAAGAAUUAGAAGCACUUGACGAAAAGCGAUUAGAGGCUCAGCAAGCAUUGGAAUGUUAUCAAGCGAGAAUGUCCAAAGCUUUUGAUAAACACGUUAAACCUCGCUCCUUUCAAGUCGGUGAUCUAGUACUUGCCGUAAGGAGACCGAUCAUCACAACAAGGCAUACAGGAAAUAAGUUCACACCUAAAUGGGAUGGACCUUACAUUGUUAAAGAAGUUUAUACAAAUGGCGCAUACAAGAUCGUUGAUCAAGACGGACUACGAAUUGGCCCAAUCAAUGGUAAAUUUCUUAAAAAAUUUAUGCUUAAUUUUGUUAGGUAAAAAAAAAAAAAAAAAAGUUGAACUACGUUAUGACUUGAUCCCUAUAUUAUAAAGGGUACGUAGGCAGCUUAAGGAAAACCUUAAGCCCAGUCCAGCAAAAAAAAAGUUGAACUACGUUAUGACUUGAUCCCUAUAUUAUAAAGGGUACGUAGGCAGCUUAAAGAAAACCUUAAGCCCAGUCCAGCAAAAAAAAAAAGUUGAACUAUGUUAUGACUUGAUCCCUAUAUUAUAAAAGGCAGCUUAAAGGAAACUUUAAGUUCAGUCCAAUAAAAAAAAAAGGAAGAAAGACAAAUUACAUUUAAUAGAAAAUAUGAUGAGGAGUGGAACAAUGAAAGAAUAAUUUUUUUUUUAUUAUUAUUAUAAACUUCUAGCAAAAAAAAAUUAAAAAGGCAUAAGUAGAUAAAUAAGAGAAAGCAGAGAAUCAUGGAGUCCAUUUAAAGUUCUUCAGCUCCUCUAGUGUGCUUUCUAAAGAUUCACGAAGUGUUGAUAGCAUUUUAGCAUCAAUAUCUCCAACGAUCGGGGCACAUUCGAGUUUGUCAAUUUCCUCACAAGUCUUCGAAAUCUCAUGUUGCUUCUGCUUCAGCUCCAGGUCGUUCUUAAAAAUUAUUCCAGAAAGUUUAGCAGACUCAACCCGCACCAUCUUUAGUUUUGCCUCUAGUUUAGCCUCCUUAGCGGACAGUCGUGUAAGACGACGUUUAGCAGUGUUGGUCUCUGCUAAUAUACGAUUCUCAUCAACUCGCAGAGUCUUCACAAAACCUUUUGCCUCCGUUAGCUGAACAUCCUUAGUUGAUUGGAGUGGAAAUGAGGAAUGUAUUUGAUUAUGGUUCUCGACACCUUGGAAGUAACCAUUCACAAGCUCCCUCAAAACAAUAAGGUUGUCGCUGCCGUUAGUCGCAAUCGCAUCAAAGAUCUUAUGCAUUUCUGGUUCAAGACUACUCAGUCGUUCAAAAGGGGUACGAAUGAUCUUCUGUCGUAGGUUUUCCCAUAAGGUUAUGGCAGCCUGUCGUCGGAGGUCAGAAAUUAAGCUGUCAGCACAAAAAUGAGAAAUCUCAGAAACUGUAAUAGGCUCUGUGCCUUCCACUUUUUGAGGAGGUCCCUUGAUCACAGGAGGACAAGCAGACACAAUAUUUGCGCCUAUAGGUUCCUUAGAGUUCCCAUUAUAAGAAAGUACAACGUUACAGUCUUCUAGAUUCAGCAUCAACUCUAGGGUAUCUUCGAUGUGUAGGUCAUGAUCACCUAAAGAAUACUACAAAAUAAUAUUAACAACAAGAAAUAAGGGGAGUAAAGGAGAGAAAAUACAAUCAAUAAAUAAAUAAAAUUGGGAGACGAAAAGAAACCAUGGGGGAAGGGACAUCGAAAAAUUGUGCAGCAUCAGGGACCCGAAUAGGAGACUCUUCAUCAUCGAUCGACUGUUUGUUAGGCUUCUUGGGUCUCUUCCAAUGGCGAUCAUCAUUGCUGCUUUGACUGUCCUCAAUACGUUUAGAAGGAUGCUUGGUAGCUAUCGAUAAGCGGUUGUCCUUACCCAUAUUGUCAAUACCACCUUUAAUAAGAUGUUUAAAUCGUGUAGAAAGAGACAAAUUAUCCACCAAGCGUUUUGUCCCUCCCUCAAUUUUCUCCACAAGUCGUUCAUCAGUUUCAUCGGAGCAUAUCUUCUGAUUUCCACUACCAAAAUUAUGUUCAAUCUUUUUUGUGGUUUUGGAUUUGAUGUGAGGGGGAGUAGGACGAUCUAUCAAAUGUUGUACUCCUUCUUGGAGGUAAUCACCGUGUUUUGCAAGCCACCAGACCUUAUAAUGAGAGGUAACAUGUGUGUCUGGAUUAGGGGCAGACACAGGAAGAUAUACUUGGGAAAGUGUAUUCUCGCGAAUACAAAUCAUCCAACAAUAUCGUACGUUAAAAAAAUUGGCUUCGGGAAUUUCUUCACCUAAGUCAUAUGGCACGUCUUGAUAAAAUCCAAAUGGUCGGCUAAAGCGACAAGGACUAUAAGGCUCAAUAACUGUGGAGGAUCCACAUUGCGAGGAUAGAAAACAAGAGCAAAUGCUUAUGAAAAAUGAAGCAUUCUAACUAAUUAACUCUCCAUCAUCCGUUAAGAGUUCGUCCUUAUUCUUUGUUGGAAGACACGCAUGCCAUGACACAUACUUUCCCUUGUGGAUAUGUGUUCGAGCCUCAAGAUUAGUAUAAUAUUUGGCCCCACCUUCACCAGAAAAUUCAACCAUGCGAGGACCCCUAAGACUCCUAGGGGCUUUAUAAUGAGUGUUGAAGUAAAGAGCAAGCCACCCAUGGACAUAGUGAAGAGGAAAACAGGCAUUUGAAUAACCAAGUGAUGAAGUAGAAUCAUGAACUUGGCGUAGGCCACUAUAAAUAUUAGCUAAAACAGGGACGGCAAGGCUAAAUGUGUAGCCUUCCGCCAUGAGGCUAGCAACCUUAAAAACCUCCGGACGAAGGGAAAGUUGCUUAUCAGGGAACACAAACACACAUAGCCAACAAGAGAGAAAUGCCGCUAGAUAGGUUUUGUCCCUAUGAUCAUCAGUGACGCUUAAGUCAAGGAACACUUUGAGUUCAGCUUUAGACCAGUCAGGACGUCUGAUGGGAAUUCCAUCUGGAUUAUGAGUUGAGCGAGGGCGAGAAGUCUUUUUAGGCUUUCGAGGAGGCGGUUUCGAAUACUUUACCUCAGAUCGUGUAACCCAAAAAGAGAUCCAUUCACUUACAGUGAUUUGAGAGUGAUCCAUGCGUUGAGAAACAAUGCGGUAAUAGGCUGCAAAUAAAUGCUCACAACUUCUUGGACAUACAUCAGGUGAUCCUAUUAAGUCUUGGUGGCAAGGAAUGCUUUCUUCAUAAAAUCUACCUUUAAUCGGGAGUCCUCCUAGUAUCCAUAAGUCCCAUAAGGAGAUGGACAUCUCACCAGCUGAGGUGUGAAGAGUGUUUGUUGAAGGACACCAUGCCUCGCAGAAAGCCCGAUCAAUGUCACUGUUGCGAUCAUAUGUAUAUAGGGAAGCCAUCACAGCAUUAAAUAGGGAGGCUCGCUUGAGUACUGCCGUAUUUCUAGCAACAACGAGCUCUAACCACUCCCAAUAAUGAGGAAGAUAGUAAAAUUCUCCAUGUACCUUGAGCACAUUUCCCCAACGAAUUUUUGGGUCGUUUAUAAUUCGACGACCCAACGUUGAUUCUGGAUCCUCAUUUGGAGGCUUGUUGUGAAUCGAAGACUCCAGAAACCAAGAUUUUAAAGAUGAAUUUGGAUUUACAAACCGUUCCUUGGACCAUUUAGGCAAAAAGAUAAAAUUGUCCUCGGGUAUUUGAGAGUCCAUAAUAUUCUCAUAUGUCCCCUCUCUCACAGGAAGAAUGAUCCCUUCCUCUAAAGAUUGAUCUACGUCCUUCAGGAUAAUUAAACACCUUUUGGUCGAGUCAGAAUACUCAGUGAAGUGCACCAUGAUGAAAAGAAGAGUUCCUGCAAAAUAAUAAUAAUAAUAAGAAGAAGAAGAAAUAGAAAAAAAAAAAAAAACCAAAACAAAAAAAAAAAAAAAAAAAAAAAAAAAAAAAAAAAAAAAAAAAAAAAAGAAAGAAGAAAAAAAAAAGAAAGAAAGAAGAAAAAAGGGGGGGGAAGAAAAAGCAAAUGGAGAUUGAAGCCCGACGAUGACAGAGUCGAUCUCUCCUACUAGGGCGAUAGAUCUGACGGCAAAAGCCCGAUCGUCCCUAGAAGAAGCUCAACAAAGUCAUUUCUGCAAACGAAGAUCGAAGCCCGACGAUGACAGAGUCGAUCUCUCCUACUAGGGCGAUAGAUCUGACGGCAAAAGCCCGAUCGUCCCUAGAAGAAGCUCAACAAAGUCAUUUCUGCAAACGAAGAUUGAAGCCCGACGAUGACAGAGUCGAUCUCUCCUACUAGGGCGAUAGAUCUGACGGCAAAAGCCCGAUCGUCCCUAGAAGAAGCUCAACAAAGUCAUUUCUGCAAACGAAGAUUGAAGCCCGACGAUGACAGAGUCGAUCUCUCUAACUAGGGCGAUAGAUCUGACGGCAAAAGCCCGAUCGUCCCUAGAAGAAGCUCAACAAAGUCAUUUCUGCAAACGAAGAUCGAAGCCCGACGAUGACAGAGUCGAUCUCUCCUACUAGGGCGAUAGAUCUGACGGCAAAAGCCCGAUCGUCCCUAGAAGAAGCUCAACAAAGUCAUUUCUGCAAACGAAGAUUGAAGCCCGACGAUGACAGAGUCGAUCUCUCCAACUAGGGCGAUAGAUCUGACGGCAAAAGCCCGAUCGUCCCUAGAAGAAGCUCAACAAAGUCAUUUCUGCAAACGAAGAUCGAGGCCCGACGAUGACAGAGUCGAUCUCUCCAACUAGGGCGAUAGAUCUGACGGCAAAAGCCCGAUCGUCCCUAGAAGAAGCUCGACAAAGUCAUUCCUGCAAAAAAAAAAAAAAACAAAAACAAAAACAAAACAACACAAAAAAAAAAAAAAAAAAACAAACAAAAAAACAAAACAAAAUAGAAUAAAAAAAAAAACACACACACACACAAAAAAAAGAGAAAAAAAAAAAAAGAGAAAGG
This 80367-nucleotide long non-coding RNA is filed under the name Cucumis sativus (cucumber). RNAcentral describes it as "long non-coding RNA (CSAT_LNC002698)". Lineage: Eukaryota; Viridiplantae; Streptophyta; Magnoliopsida; Cucurbitales; Cucurbitaceae. The record is from RNAcentral.